Molecule: long non-coding RNA, 55430 nt
Filed under: Triticum aestivum (bread wheat)
Lineage: Eukaryota; Viridiplantae; Streptophyta; Magnoliopsida; Poales; Poaceae
Description: long non-coding RNA (TAES_LNC004882)
Source: RNAcentral
UAGGGCUUCAUACCUCACACCACCACCACCACAACCAGGAGCUCCUCCAUUGAUCUCUGUAACACCAGAAUGACCACCACCAUCAGCAGCAGCAGCAGCAUGUCAUAUGCCGUGGGCGCGAUGCAAAUGCAGUAGCGUUAGGUUUCUGAUUCACCUGUUGUAAAAACUUAGAGUUAGCCCGCAGUCAGCAGUAGCUCAGCCAGCCAGCCAUCUCUCAGCCUGAUCCCCAACCUCACUGUAACCGUCGUUAGUUAACAACAUCUCAUUUCCGUAGGCUCUAGCUUGAUUAGCAGCUCGGUUAUCUUCUGUAUCCCGGUCCUCCAUCAAUGAAUGAAUCAGAGCUAGAUUUAUUUUCACCCCACUCUCAAUCUCCAUCUCUGCAGUGCUGUGACUGUGACUGUGUGUGAUUCGUGCAUGCAUGGAAUGGAUGGGGUGGGAACUUGUCAUCAUCUUGUCUGAAAAGCUGGGGUGGCGUUGGACUGCUUUCUUGGUGGUGAUCAAGCGGCAAGCAAGUUGAUGCGGGAGGGCUUGGAUGGAUUCCACUAGGCACUAGGCUACUAUAGCUGCAUCGUGUGUGUGAUUGGACCUGUGUGGUUACUGUUGUGCACUUGUGUGCCCUUUGCUUUGCAGUAAGCUGAGUGGAUGCUGGUCGUGGUCGUGGUCAUGGUGGAAGCUGUGAGACUGAUGGGAAGCCAAAGCUUGGACUGUUUGUGUGGCGAGUUGAUGGCGCUCAUCAUGGAUGGUCUUCUUACCGAAUCAUCCUUUCUUUCUUGGCAGCAGGCACUUGUUACCCAGCAGGUGAACUGGUAACAAAGUUGCUCUUUUUGGCCUACCCGUGCGCCGGGAGAGGUCGGGUUUUCCAACCCGCUCCUUUUACCUCCAUCCAUGCUAGGAAGGUGCCCACUGUCCUUUUCACUUGAGCCUUUUUUACCAUCUGCUUUAUUAGUUCUGGUGCUUGUUUAAUCAAAGCAGCAGCAGCAGCAUCAGGAUGCCAGGAUUGCAUUGCAUUGCUGCCUGGAAUCGCUGCCUCCCUUGUUGCGGGGUAACUCUGGGAAUGCAGGCCUCGAUAAAACCAAGAGUACCAACAUUGCUAAUGCAGGGACGCUUAACUUUGUCCCGCUCCCUGCCUCGCUCGCAGUCCUCUCUGCAACUGCAACGCCGAGUUUUAAAAUUAGUUUUUUGGUGGAAACCACUACAGUGGUUUUUACGCAAGUCUCGCCCGAAUAAAAUCACCUACACGCCGGAUUUUUCUACGGUACGUGUCCCCUGAAUUGUGCUCCCUCCGUUCCUAAAUAGUAAUGCCUUGUUAAACUAACGUAAAAGCGUUUAGAUCACUAAAGUAGUUUACAGAGGGAGUUUUUGUUUUUUGAGAUUUUAAUUUGAACUACUCCCUCCGUUCCAUAAUGUAAUACGUUUUUUGAGGGACGAAGGGAGUACAUACGGAGCAAAAUGAACGUAUCUAUACUCCAAAACACGUCUAUAUACAUCCGUGUGUAGUUUUUAUUGAGAUCCUUAAAAGGACUUGUAUUUAGAAACGGAGGGAGUACUAUAUAGAACUGGCUCUGAGAAUUUCCAUGAAAUCAUCCCUUUUUUCUGUUGGACGGCUCCGUUUGUACACACUUCUCCUCUUUUGACAAGUCCAAUUAAAUAUUACUUCCGUUCUAAAAUAUUUGUGUUCGAGUCGUCUAGACGUACAUGGAUCUAACACUACAUCCGUAUCGAGGCUAAUUUAUUAAAACAAGUAAUUCAGGACGGAGAGGGUAUAAAUUUGGGGUUUUGGAUGCAUCAGGUCAGUCAUUUUUGCUGUGUCGGUCUGUGUGGUGCUAUCCGAAACAGUCAUUGUCCGUCUUGGAGAUGCUGAGAAUCCUUGAGAGCAGAGAGCACAGCACCGCCUGUUUGUUUAUGCGAUCCGGGUCAGGGUCAGGUGACGGGACGUCUCCAUCCCUCCCUCCGGCUUUUUGGACGUCUACUGUGCGUACGUGCGCGGGCUAAUCGAUAAUCAGUGUGUCAGUCAGUGGUAAGUAAUCAGUGAGCGCCGCAGGCUUUGUUUGUUUAAGCUAGUGGAGCUGCAUGCGGCUGAGGCGCUGCUGGCCUGGCCUCCUCAACGCCCUCAGUGUUACCACUGCUGAUGAUGAGCAUGAGCAUGAGCAGCUUAGUACUAAUGCGUUGAUCGGCAAGCACUAGUAACACUGCGCUGACUGUUGAAAGAGAUAGAUUGGGUACUGGGGAGUUGUCGCUGACAUGACGGCACAUCCAUCAGGAGAAUACGGCUGUUCAUCUCCCAUGUAAAUUUCUUCGGUCCACAAGUUGGUGACCUCUGCUCUACUACCGGAGGAAGUAAGUAGUCUUGUGCAGGGCAAAAGGAUUGUGAUGCGGUGCCGCCUCCUGGUUGUGGUUGGUGCUCUGCUCAUCAUCGGUUCCAACUUGUUGCACCCAAAGGUGGCCACUAUCACGUUUGUGACCAGACAAAAGUUGACUCUUUUGUGUAAAUAAGGGUUCUGGACAGUGUGUGUGGCGAAGCCAGGAUCGGGCCAGGGCCCGGGCCGGUUUCACUCUACUGUAGGAGCUUGUUUACAGGCAUUGGACAAGAGUGCUUCCGACCCCGGGCCGUGUCACAGAAAUUUAGAGUUCCAUCAAGUGGAGUACUCCUAGUAAAGUAAUGAUAACAAGGCCAUGGCUUUUCACAACAUUGGCCAACUCCACCAUGCGACAUCAUCCUGUCCGCGCGCGUCCGUUUGGGGUAAAACAAACGAACCAGGCGGCCCAGCGCACGGGCGCAAACGUACUUUUGUCCGCUUUCGACCCAUCCUCGGCCCAAAUUUGCGCCGCUUUUGGGGUGAAACGGACAGCACGCGGACGCGGGGGCCGUCUGCGCGUGUCCUCCCCUGGCCCGCCCGUCGAUAGUACAGGGGCGCCUUUUUCUAUCCGCUCCCUCCCUCCGGCCGCACGCCCUCCACUCUUCCCCACUAUUCCCUCGCCGCCGCCGCCAAGCUGUGCAGCUCGGACGCGCGCUCGCCCAGCCCCUUCCCCUCGGCGCCCCCGAGCUACCCAACCACGGCCACCUGAUUUGCGCACCCGCCGGCCGAAUUUGGGACGGAUCCGGUCGGUCUUGAGCUCGCCCGGCUGUGGGAGGCCGCGCCGGCCAUGGACUGGCGGGCACCGGGCCGGAAGGCCCUGGUAGGGCCGCAAGGCCACAUGCAGGCAGUGGCUCCUCCUCUAGCCGCUCGGAUCUACAUCGCCGUUGGUCCGCCGGCAGAUUCACGAAUGGCGGUCGACCGGGCUCGGUGCUAGCCCAAAAGCUCGUCGGCGCACCGUUGCCACUCAUUAAGUGUGACCACUGCCCAAAGAAGGUCGUGCGCCGCGUGUCUACAACGCCGGAACAUCCCGGAUGGGUGUUCAUCAAGUGCUUAAACAAUGGGGUAUGUGCUCUUUUUAGCUUCGGUUUGUUCUCUAGAUUUGACUAGUUGUGCUAACUUCAAAUUUUGUUGUGUAGAAUGGAUGCAAGUUUUGGUACGGGAAGAAGAGUACAUCGAUAUAUUGAUAGAGCGCAAUUUAGUAGAUGUUCGUGCACUUUUAGCUAGCAUAGAGGCUGUAGAUAAGACAAGUGCACUUGUUGCUAGAUUAGAGGCUAGACACGAGACUAGAUGCGAGGAAGCAACCUCUACUUCCUUAGACUCGAAGAAGAAAGAAACACGCAAUAUGGAGGCGGCUCCUCCGCAGAUCAACAAUGAAUGCAUCGAGAAGACACUAAUCCAACUUACAGGAGCAGUUAUGGAAGUUGGAUAUUUUCUAAAAUGUAUUCUUGUGGUUCUUGCUUUCUUUGGUCUUACUUUUAUAGUCAAAAUUUGGUGAUGUAUUUCCAUAUACCAAAAAUGAAUGAUGAAAAAAAAUUUAAGGGCUUGCAAAGGAAAAAGUACACGGACAGGAUGCGGCCGGGAUGCGUCCGCAUGUUGGGCGCACGCCAUCGCAUCCCAGAAAUGGCCCGGACACGACCCUAUUGCCUUACCUAAACGGACAGAAUUCGGAUAAAACGGACGUCCGUUUGGGGACGCGCGGUGGAGUUGGCCUUAAAAAAGGGCUCAACUUCUAUGGGAGGAAUGGGACGCUCACUGUGGUGCAUUCAAGAAAGGCCUGGCAUCCUAUUCUGAAUUUCUGACAGCAGGAGGUACUCCUACUGCAUGGGUGUGUGACACGAGUUUCAAGUGAGCAGUGGAUGAUGGGCAUUACAAUGAGGCAACGCUGCAGUACCAAUUGUAGGUGCCUCCAACGCCAGCGAGGGACACUGCAUUAGCAGGAACCAGGAGCUAUCGAUCCUAGAGCAACUCUAGGGUGUGUUUGGUUGCCCGCAUGCAGUCCAACCAAGCCCGCGCGGGAUGUGCGCGGCCUGUUUGGUUGCCUGGGCUGCAUGCGGUUUGAUGCCCGCACGGAUCUUAAAGCAGCCCGCAGCCUGGCCCGGCGGAAACUACCGAAUCGGCAGUUUCUCGCGAGCCUGGCUGGGCGCGGCAACGCGUGCGAGGCAGUUGCAUGCCUCGGGCAGCGCGGGAGACGGAGGGGACGUCUCAUAACUCGCCCCCACUCUCCUAUCACCGCCCAGUCGCACUGUUCCCACCGCUCCCUCUCUCCCUCACCGCCCCUCCCUCUCCUCUCCUCCGAUAGCUCCGCCUCGCCCACCGCCGCGCCGCCCUCUGACCCCCAUCGACCAGCGCAUCGCCAGCAUCCAGGAGCGAUGGCUGGUCGGGCUCCAGAACUCGAGCCGGGACCUGGCGUCGGCGCUACGAGCGCCGUCCCCCAUCUGCUGCCGGACACCACCAGCGUCGGCCAAUGCGGUGCCGGUCGCUCCUGCUCCGCCGCCGAUUCCGGACCUCGUUGUCCUGGGCUCGGCGCCGGCGCCGUUUAUGGAGCCGCUUGUUCUUGGGACCCCAUUGGGCAGGGGGGUUUCUUGACCCCCGUCCAAGGGUUUCUCCUGUUGGCGGGUCGUCCUUCUCGAGCUCCGGCGUGGCGAUGAUCACGGGGCAGAUGCCGCAGGCCGUCGCCAGGGCCGGCUCCUCCUCUGCUCUGCCACCUCUCUCCUUCCCGCCGGGGUUUUCGCCCCGGCCUCGGUUCGCUGCGGCUGCGCGUGCUCCGGUGAGUCAAACCCCCUCAAUGCUUCCUCAUAGAUGUAGAUUAGGGGUUUAUUUCUUAGGCAUGUGCUAGUAGUUAGUGGAUUCGAUAGGAUUCUAGCAGAUCCGAUUGGAUGCGAUCCCAAUCGAAUCCAAUCGGACUGAUCUGUUCUUGUUUUGUACAGUGUGUGUCCUAGGAUAAUUUUCUUGUGCUACUGGAUCUGUGUUCAUGCUAGUAGCUGUGUUCAUGCUAGAAUCCCCAAUGAUAGUGUGCUUUGCUAGGAUGUGUGUUCAUGGUAGGGUCUUGCUAGGAUGUGUGUUCAUGCAAAUGGCAUGUUCAUGUUCAAGCUAGGAUCAUGUUCAUGUUGUUGUUCAUGUUGCUAACAUACAUGUUCAAGCUAGGGUUUGUGUUGAAUGUUAUACGUGCAUGUAGUAGGAUCAUUUUAGGAUGCUGCCAAAUGUGCAUGGCUGCACAUGGGUGCUAUUGGCACUUGUUGUUGCUAUUUUUAGACGUUUCCAUGUUUAGGAUAGUGCACUGAUGAGUGGCAGUUGCAGCAAAGCAGAUGCCACUGAUCAGUGGACUUUCCCAACAGCAAGUCCACUGAUAAUUGGCAUUUGCCUAACAACGAGUGCCAUUGAGAAGUGCCACUGAUUAGUGGCAUUUGCCUAACAGCAAGUGCCAUUGAUAAGUGGCAUUUGCUCAAAGAGUUUGUGCACUGAUCAGCGGCAUUUUCUCUUGGGCAAAUGUCUCUGAUCAGUGCCAUUUUACAAAGAGUUUGUGCACUAAUACUUGUCAUCUUACCUGACAAGAUAUUGAAGACUGACUGGGAUGUGGCGGAGGGGGAGCUCAGGUGGUGGCCGGAGUUGAGGGCGCCGAGGAUUUCAUCCCCACGAACAGGUGGCUCGGGAUGGUGGACCUGCCUGGCAGAAUCGCCUUCAUGAGCCUGUCUCGUUCAAGGGGACGAUCUCCGAGGCAGGGCCACAAGGAGGGGGCCAGGGAGCCGCCGCGCUUCUACCAGCAGAUCAAGGACAACGAGGACCUCGCCAUGCUCGUCGUCCCUCGCAAGUUCGUGGAGGUGAUGAACACCUAGCUGGUCAUCAAGCGGCUCCCGCACGUGGUCAGGCUGUCGGCGAACAAGCGGUGCGUGUUCUGGGUGCAGGUCUAGAACUUCAAGGGGCACAUGGUGCUUGGCCGGGGCUGAAACUAUUUCUGUCGCCGCCACCAGAUCAUCCCCGGCGACCUCGUUGUUGUGCGCAUCUCAGGACUCGGACAGAAGAUUCAGAUCUACAACCACGACUCCUCGGUCAUGUGCAGGUUUCGUCGCAGCAGGCACAAUUGCGUUGGUAACACCGAGCAUGCUAUGUAGUUAAGUUAAGUAAGGUGUUAGUGUUGAACUUUUAUGGUGUGGCGAGACUUGUGCUGGGAACUUGUUCAUAUUUUGGCCAGGAGUAGCACCCUGGCUUGGAGCAGGGAAGGAGGAUGCCCCUGCUGUUAAUCUAGACUUAUGCUAUGUAGUUAAGUAGUUUGCUGUCAUUUCCUUGCUUGCUGUGUUUGAUUUCAUUUGGGUGCUUGCUUUGUUUGCUCUUGCUGUUGUGCUGAUCAUGUGGUGGUAAGGCCACCACAUUUGAAUGGGGUGAGCAGAACACAAACGCUGUUUGAAACCAAACAGCUGAAGUUUGCAUCUGCUCACACCCUAAGCACAAAAACGACAACCAAACAGCGGGCGGGUAAGUGCCCCUCCAUGCGAUGCAGGCAACGAAACAGGUUGCAUCUGCUGCAUAUGAGGCUGCAUUUCAAGAACCAGACUGGCUGGAGAUGGACAUGCAAUGCAAAUACUGUUGCAAACUGCAACCAAACACGCCCCUAGUGAAUGGCGUGAAGAGCCUUAGGUUUAUCUGCUGGGGGUUUCUGAUUCUGAAGAAGAAACCAGGCGAUGAAAGCUAUAUAUGUAUGUAUUAGUAGUGUUUAUGUAGGAGAGGGGAAGCAUAUGGCGGCCAUGGGCGUGGGCAUGGAUGGACUGGAUGUGAUGUAAUGGCAGCCUGGACCGCCUUGCCUGAACCUGGACCUGGACCUGGAGAUGGACAAGCAAGUAGAGUAGUUCGUACGCCCACCAAGUCUCACAAUUGCUGCAUUGUCUCUCUGAUUGUGCGGUGCCUCCGCCCGCUGCUCGCGCGUGCGUCAAUCAUCACGCGCGACAUGGGACGGGAGUGUUGAAAACCCACCCGGUGGUGUUGAUCGUUGCAGCAGAGGCAGAGCAGAGGGGAUACCACUGCUUCGUCAUUGGCAUUGUGGGUUUCAGAGCCCCCUCCUUGUUUGAUCCUUGGUCCGCCUAGCGCCCUAGCAGGCAGAGCAGGAUUUGGGUGCUGCGGCCACGGAAGGAACUGCGGUUGUCAUGCAUGGCGCCGUCGUCCCGCGUGAAUGAAAAUCGUUGGGCUGCAAGGACAACGAGCAGCGGCUGGCUGCACGGCCGUGCUUUGGCUGCGUGGCUGGGAGAGAUAGCAGGGAGCCCUCGAGGCACGUCCGUCCGGCCGGCAGCCCGCGGUGCAUGGACGGGACGGCGGCUCGACGGAAAUGCGGGUGCUGGCAGGACACAGGCUGCCGCUCCCCGGUGCCUGCAAGCUGUGCCGUUUGAUAGAUUUUCACAGCGGAGGGUGGAGAAGUGAAGUGGACGGAGGAGAGACACAUGUCAUAACAGUCAAACAUAAUAACGGUCAACCAAAUUUAGUAGUGCUUCCGUGAGGUGGGAAGCCAAAGCUUGGACUAUCUGUGUGGGCGAGUGGAUGUGCACUCGCGCCCGUGCACUGGUAAAUAAAAGUUGCUGCUCUUUUUGUUGGGUCGGGACUCGGGAGAGGUUUUCCAUGCUCCUUUUCACUUGAGCCUUUUUUACCAUCUGCUUUAGUUCUAGUGCUUGUUUAAUCAGUUGAACCUUUCUACCAGCUGAUUAAACAAGCAGCACCAUGCCAGCAUUGCUGCCUGGAAUUGCUGAUUGUUAUGGGGUAAUUUGUACGUUCCGUCUGACUUUCUUCAGAUAAAACCAACCAAACCACACUGCUAAUGGACGGACGGACGGACGCUUAACUUUGACCCGCUUGCUCGCUCGCUCAUAGUCCUUUCUGCAACGCUCAAUUUAUAAAUUUUGUUUCGCUGGAGGACACGCACAUUCCCGAGAAGGUUGAUGCUAGUGAUGGAGCAUCCAGGAGCAAUCCGUUGUGCCGGAGUGGAAGUCGAUGACCACUACAGUACCCAGUUGAUUGUGCCUGAAUGCACUUCUGCUUUGCCCGCACAUCCGAGUUAUUUACCCAUCCUGCUGUCACUCAUCUUGAGCUGCUACUUGUUAAGUACGUACGUACGUAGCAUUUCUUGGGCUGGACUGCGUGAGCGUGAGGGAGGCUUAUCGUCGUCUGGGUGUGGCCAGCACUCCAGCAGUGCCCGUGUAUGUAGGCAGAAGAAGCAGCGGUCCGGUACUCCGAUCAGCGCUCAGCAGGGAGGGCACUUGGCGACAUUUGAUCUUGAAAGUCGCAGCAGGCAGGCUCAGUGUCAGCUCUUCGAGUGCCGCCCCACCCACCGGCUCGCUGCAAUGAAAAGAAACAUCGCCGCCCAUGUAUGGUACAAAAUUUGGCGGUCCAAAACCGGAGAUGUAAAAUUUGGACCGUCAAAAAGUGCGUUUUGAAGCUCCGAAAAAAGCUUAACUCCAACAGAUGGUCCAAAUUGAUGGUCUAAAAAAGCAACUCCAAUAGAUGGUCCAAAAUGAAGAUGUAAAUUUCUUAAAACGACAAACUACUAGUCCAUUCAACAUAGUUCAAACAUCAAAUUCAACAUAGUUUCAUACAUGAACUUCAACUACUUAUUCAAACUACUAGUUAAACUACUCCUCAUCGUCGGAGCUGUGGAACUGCGUCGAGAACUCCUCCUUCUCCGGGUCGUCGCAUCCCUCCUCCUCCUCCUCCUCCGAGAAGUCUGCCUAGUCCUCCUCGGAAGAGGACUCGAUGGGGAUCACCGUCGAGGGACCGACCUCGUCCUUCUUCUUCGCCCCCUUCUUCUUCUGCUCUGCCUCACGCUUCCAAUAGUACUCCAGCUCGGCCUGGACGUACUCCGGAUGCUCCCGAGCAAACCUCGCCAUCGCCUCCUCGUCGGUCUCGCCAGCACUGACGACAACCGAUGGCUUCUUCGCCGUCUUCUUCUUCGUCGGGAUCUCCUUCAUCUUCAUGCCCUGCGGCACAAGCAUCUCCGCUUUCGCCCGACUCUCGAUCUCUGGGAAGUUGAGGUGCUCCCGAGGCCUCUCGGCACGCCACACCGCCACGUCGUAGGCACGCGUGGCCUCGUGGGCGGAGGGGUACGUGCCGAUCCACCAACGCCUCCCGGCGUCGGAGAACUCCACUCCGAAGUUACCGGAGGGCUUCUGCCUCACGCCGAAGAAGCCCGACUUGCCCUUCGGCGUCUUAUUCGGCGCCAUCGGAGAGCGGUAAGAGCGGUGGAGCNNNNNNNNNNNNNNNNNNNNNNNNNNNNNNNNNNNNNNNNNNNNNNNNNNNNNNNNNNNNNNNNNNNNNNNNNNNNNNNNNNNNNNNNNNNNNNNNNNNNNNNNNNNNNNNNNNNNNNNNNNNNNNNNNNNNNNNNNNNNNNNNNNNNNNNNNNNNNNNNNNNNNNNNNNNNNNNNNNNNNNNNNNNNNNNNNNNNNNNNNNNNNNNNNNNNNNNNNNNNNNNNNNNNNNNNNNNNNNNNNNNNNNNNNNNNNNNNNGGCUGGGCCGGAUCUGAUGCGGGCGGCGUGCGGCGGGGUGUGGAGGCAGCUGGGCGGCGGCGGACGGGCGGGCGGGCGGGAAAGGAAAGGAAGUUGCGGCUGGGCGUUCGCGGGCGGCGGCUGGUUUUGGACCAGAUGCCCCUCGUGAUGUAAAUUUGCAGCGCGAGGUGUUGUAUUUUACAUCACGAGAAGGCCGCGGUCCAAAUUGUUUUUACAUAUGAGCCGUCUGUUAGAGCUGCGUUUUUGGCCUUAGACGGUCCAAAAGUUAGUUACUUUUACAUUUGGACCAUCUAUUGGAGAUGCUCUAACCCGCUUCGUUUCGUUUCGUUUCCAACUGAGAAUGAGAUGGUCCAGUCCAGAAACGCAUCACGCAAAGUUUCUUUUCUAGCUAGGGCCUGUCCACCUCUGAAACCAGAUGCUUUGGCUUGGAGGAUCUCGCCACUUUUCCUCCAUUUUCCGGAGGAUUCCAUUCCUAAACCUAUUUGUUGACUCAAAGAUGAUGAUGAUGUUUUACACCUCUUUUGACAAGCUGGAUGGAAUCCGUCUCUUCUCUUGCCCUAGAAAGAAAUUCGGGGUUUUGGGUGCAAGCAUCAGGCCAGCACAACUCGCUGCAUGAUGCUAGUAUCUAUCGGAAACAGUCUUUGUCAGAUUGUCCCGUGUUGGAGGUAGGAGAUGCCGAGAAUCCAUCCUUGAGAGAGCGCACGAGGAGUUGUUUGUUUAUAGAGGUAAUAGCACCCCAGAUCCACAAACUUGCACAGAAUGUGAUGUUUUAGUCCAAAACUUGCAAAAUGUUACUGAGGACUCCUACAACUUAACACCCUAUGUGAUGUUUUGAUCCACAGCCACUCACAGCAUGACAAGUGGCAGUCCAGAGGGUGGACCAGUCAGCUCUAGCAAUUUUGCACAUAGGCCCCUGCCGUUUACUUGAUUCAACCCGCACUACUUACCGUUGCUGUUCCCGUUCCCCCACCCCACACCUACCGUUGUUGUUCCCGUUUCCCCACCCCACACCUAUCGUUGUUGUCCCCCUUUCUCCUUCCUGUUCCCCAUUCUCCAUCCUCUCGCUCUCACUCUCGCUCUCCCUCUCCCUCUCCCUCUCCCUCUCCCUCUGUCGCCGGCAGCAAGGUCCCUUCCCCCAUCCCUUGCUUUGAACCCUUGAACAUUUGCACAGCUCAUGGCCAUGGUUUCCUGGAGCGAUUCUGGCAGUUCGUCCGACACUGAGUCAGUCAGCAGCGAAGUGCAAGUUAGAUCUCUUUCUCUGGUAGGGUUAGGGUUUCUUUGGGUGUGCAUUGGUAGUUAGCAAAUGAAGCUGAUUUACUUAUGUUUUAGCUACCUGCCACCAUCUUGUGCUUGGAAUGGAGCGGCCUGGCCAUAGAUCUGAGUUCUAGAUGUGAGCAUGAAUGUGUUUGUGAGAAGCUGGUGGCAUUUGAUUCAGUGGAUAGUGGGAAGAGAUUCCUAGCUUGUGCACAGAAGGUUAGUGGCUUAUUUGGUCAGUUUGAUUCAGUGUUCAGUUAUGUUUGACAGUUCUGAUAGUGAAAUGCAUAUACUACUGUGGUGUUGACAGUUAGAUUCAGUGUUUAUGUUGCUGUUUUUGCUUUUGUUAGUUUACUGAAUGUUGUUAUUUGUAGUUCUUUAAAUUUAGUGAAUACUGUGGAGAUCUACCAGUGUUUACUGAAUCUUGUUGUUUGUAAAUCUGAAGAUCUGUCAGUUAACAAAUUUUGCUCAAGUAAACUUUGUUUUGUUCAUGUAAACUGAACACUUGUAGUGUAGUUGAGCCAGUAUUUAACUGUUAUUUUCAUUGUACUGAAUAUUUUUCUUUUAGUUGCAAAUUUGUAGAAGAUACCUAAAUGCAGCUAUCUGGAGUGGGUUGACCCUGAGUGGCCUGCCCCUUUGAAGAUGAGCCUAGCUAGGAUCUGGGGCAUGUAUGAAGAUGAGAACAAGCUUAGGCUCCAGGACAAUGUAGUUCAUGCUGAAGAAAAUCUUAGGGUUGUGAGAGAGAAGGAAAAGCUGGAAAAAGACUUGAGGUUUUUUAAGGUUGAUUUUGCUCAAAUGGUGGCUGAGAAGGAGCAAGCUGUGGCCCAACUAGGCAACACACAACUUGCUAUGGCUGACAUGAAGGAAGAUCUUGAUAAGAAGAAGAUGUCUAACAAAUCAUUCACAAACAUUCAUCAAGUUGUGAGGGCCAAGGCAGAGAAAGAUAGGGACCUGAUGAAGCAGGAGAGGGACAGUCUGGUGCAAGAGAGGGACAACCUGGUGCUGGAGAGGAAUGUGCUAAAGCAAGAGGAGAAGAAGUUAGAGUACAUGAUUUUUCAGAAGAAAACUAAAUUUGUUAUCUCAUUGCACUAAAUUUCUGAUAACUCACAGUACUUAACUGAAUAUUGCUCCUAUCUAUUUUUGACAGAGAUUUAACUGAAUUUGUUCACAUUUAACUGUAAUUGUGACAGUUAACUGAACUUUGACAGUUAAAUGAAUUUUUCAGAGUUAACUGAAUUGGUUCAGAGUUAACUGAAUUUUUCAGAGUUAACUAAAUUUUCAGAGUUAACUAAAUGUUUAACUGAAUAUGUGCACCAUAUGAACCCUACUACAUGCCCAUAGGUCCCAUCUAUUUUGGGAAAGAGUUGGUUGCCCAUAGGUACACAUGCAGACAUUCAAACUGUUAACUGACCACAACAUUCAUAACUAACUAACUACAGCAUUGGAUACUUCAACACCUAAACAGCAACAUUCAUACCUUAGUUUAGCAUAACUGACCAUACCAUCAUAGUUCAACAUCUUAGUUCACCAUCAUACCUAACAACACCAUAGCAUCAUAAAAUAACUUAUAUGCUCUACAUAUAAGAGCACACCUAAACAACAUUGCCAAAAUACUUAACUUAUAUGCUGCUCUACUAUAUCAGCAUACCUAAUGCCUUCUUCUUGAGCUGCAUCACUUCUCCUUCAAGGCUUCUGCUUCACUUGUCCUUCAACAUCUUCAGCCUCUCCGAGCGGCGCACCACCCCAUCUGCAGGCCUCUUGUUGCUUGCGUUCUUCUUCCCCUUCCUGCCGUCCACUUCUUCCUGCGCAGGCACCUUGUCCGCCUCGUCCGCUUCCUCUUGCUUGACGACGACGAAGUCAGGCACACCCGGCAGCGCGUCCACGUCGAUGGGGAUGGUCACAGCCCGUGGUGCCAUCUGCACCUCAUCCGGCUCGUCGUCAGAGAGGACGAUGACGUCCACCUCCCACUCUUGAGAUGACUCGGUCUCUGGGUCGUAGCCAGAGUCCGCGUCGGAGGUGAGGUGGUCGUACUCGGAGUCGGACGACGAAUCCGCGUCGGAGACGUCGUGGGGAAGGAGGAGGUUAGGCUGAAACCUGUCCCAGUACGCCCUGUUGAUUGGCGUGGGGACGGCAAGGACGACUUCACGCACGCGCUCCGCCCUGGAGGCGACACGGUUGGGAUCCGGCUGCUGCGGCGGUGCCUUGGCGGACCGAUACAUCCACCAGCGCGCGCUGGUCCGGAUCGUCUAACCGAGUCUCCCCCAUGGCGAACUGCAGGAUCUUCGCCAGGUGGACGCCGACGAUGCCGUACGGGCCGCUGGGCAUGGCGCGACGCUUCUCGUCGUCUGUCAUUACCUUGAUGAGGCCGCGCGCGUGGUUCCUCAUUAUCUGGAUGCUCGGGAACCAGCGCGCGAUCUCCUGCAGCUCCGCCCGCGCCGUCUGGUCGUCGCCGGCCAGAUCUUCGACGGCCCUCUGCCAUCCCAGGUUGUCGUCCAUGGCGUCGGCGGCGGCUUCGACCUCGGGCGAGGGUUUCUUUGGUGGCGAUGAGAUGGAGGUGGGUAGCGCAAGCAACGAGGAGACGAGGGAAGUGGGGAGUGGGUAGUGGGCGACGAGAGCGGUGGGUUCCCUUAUUUAAGACAGGUGUGAAAAUUGAAUUGUCGGCCCGUCGAAAAAAUUACGGUGGGUUGCCGUAUUAGUACAACAGUGCCAGCAAAUACACCAAACCACGACAACUACUCUACUGGCAUUGCUUCUAGCUUACCAAACCCACAGUCCUGGGUUCGAGACCCAGACCGAACAUUUUUUUUCUUUUUUCCUUACACAAAAUUCAGUUGAAUGUAGGCCAAAUAAUUGCAUUCAUUAAUUGUUUUGUAAGCUUUUUUAACUUCAUUAAACAUUUCAACACAAUUGAACUGAACUUUGCUAACUGACAGUACAUAACUGAACUUUGCUAACUGACAGUACUUAACUGAAUUUUGAACAGCAUUCAACAGAAUUAAACUAAACUUUGCAAACUGAAUUAAACUGAAUUUUGGAAAGCAUUAAAACCCAACUAAUGCCACAUGUUUGCCAUCACAGUUUUUAGUUACAAAAAGGGCACUUAAUGCCACUGUUAUGUUGGGGAACGUAGCAGAAAUUCAAAAUUUUCUACGCAUCACCAAGAUCAAUCUAUGGAGUUUACUAGCAACGAGAGGGAAGGAGUGCAUCUACAUACCCUUGUAGAUCGCGAGCGGAAGCGUUCAAGAGAACGGGGUUGAUGGAGUCGUACUCGUCGUGAUCCAAAUCCCCGAUGAUCCUAGCGCCGAACGGACGGCACCUCCGCGUUCAACACACGUACGGUUGGGAGAGACAUCUCCUCCUUCUUGAUCCAGCAAGGGGGGAGGAGAAGUUGAUGGAGAUCCAGCAGCACGACGGCGUGGUGGUGGAAGUAGCGGGAUCCCGGCAGGGCUUCGCCAAGCGCAAGCGGGGAGGAAGAGGUGUCACGGGAGGGAGGGAGGCGCCAGGGCUUGGGGUGCUGCUCCCAUACGCCUCCCCACUAUAUAUAGGGGUGGAGGGGGCUGGUUUCUUGCCCUCCAAGUCCAUUGGGGCAUUGGCAAAGGUGGGGAAAAGAAAUCCCAUCAUUUCCCUUCCCCACCGAUUGUUAUCCCCCUUUUUUAGGGAUCUUGAUCUUAUCCCUUCGGGAUAUGAUCUUAUUCCUUCGGGAUAUGAUCUUAUUCCUUCUAAGGUGGGAUCUUGGUGCGCCUUGACCAGGGGUGUGGGGCCUUGCCCCCACUACCCACGUUCAUGUGGCCCCCCCAUGCAGGUGGGCCCCACUUCGGAACCUUCUAGAACCUUCCCGGUACAAUACCGAAAAAUCCCGAACAUUUUCCGGUGGCCAAAAUAGGACUUCCCAUAUAUAAAUCUUUACCUCCGGACCAUUCCGGAACUCCUCGUGACGUCCGGGAUCUCAUCCGGGACUCCGAACUACUUUCGGUUAACCGCAUACUAAUAUCUCUAUAACUCUAGCGUCACCGAACCUUAAGUGUGUAGACCCUACGGGUUCGGGAGACAUGCAGACAUGACCGAGACGCCUCUCCGGUCAAUAACCAACAGCGGGAUCUGGAUACCCAUGUUGGCUCCCACAUGCUCCACGAUGAUCUCAUCGGAUGAACCACGAUGUCGAGGAUUCAAUCAAUCCCGUAUACACUUCCCUUUGUCAAUCGGUACGUUACUUGCCCGAGAUUCGAUCGUCGGUAUCCCAAUACCUUGUUCAAUCUCGUUACCGGCAAGUCACUUUACUCGUACCGUAAUGCAUGAUCCCGUGACCAAACACUUGGUCACAUUGAGCUCAUUAUGAUGAUGCAUUACCGAGUGGGCCCAGAGAUACCUCUCCGUCAUACGGAGUGACAAAUCCCAGUCUCGAUUCGUGCCAACCCAAUAGACACUUUCGGAGAUACCCGUAGUGCACCUUUAUAGCCACCCAGUUACGUUGUGACGUUUGGCACACCCAAAGCACUCCUAUGGUAUCCGGGAGUUGCACAAUCUCAUGGUCUAAGGAAAUGAUACUUGACAUUUGGAAAAGCUCUAGCAAACGAACUACACGAUCUUGUGAUAUGCUUAGGAUUGGGUCUUGUCCAUCACAUCAUUCUCCUAAUGAUGUGAUCCCGUUAUCAAUGACAUCCAAUGUCCAUAGUCAGGAAACCAUGACUAUCUGUUGAUCAACGAGCUAGUCAACUAGAGGCUCACUAGGGAAAUGUUGUGGUCUAUGUAUUCACACAUGUAUUACGGUUUCCAGUUAAUAAAAUUAUAGCAUGAACAACAGACAAUUACCAUGAACAAGGAAAUACAAUAAUAACCAUUUUAUUAUUGCCUCUAGGGCAUAUUUCCAAGAGUCUCCCACUUGCACUAGAGUCAAUAAUCUAGUUCACAUCACCAUGUGAUUAACACUCAAAGUUCACAUCGCCAUGUGACUAAUACCCAAGAGUUUACUAGAGUCAAUAAUCUAGUUCACAUCACCAUGUGAUUAACACUCAAUGAGUUCUAGGGUUUGAUCAUGUUAUGCUUACGAGAGAGGUUUUAGUCAACGGGUCUGCAACAUUCAGAUCCGUGUGUGCUUUACAAAUCUCUAUGUCAUCUUGUAGAUGCAGCUACCAUGCGCUACUUGGAGCUAUUCCAAAUAACUGCUCUACUAUACGAAUCCGGUUCACUACCAAGAGUCAUCCGGAUUAGUGUCAAAGUUUGCAUCGACGUAACCCUUUACGACGAACCCCCUUUCCACCUCCAUAAUCGAGAAAAUUCCUUAGUCCACUAGAUACUAAGGAUAAGUUCGACCGCUGUCAUGUGAUCCCUUCCUGGAUCACUAUUGUACCCCUUGACUAACUCAUGGCAAGGCACACUUCAGGUGCGGUACACAGCAUAGCAUAUUGUAGAGCCUACGUCUAAAGCAUAGGGGACGACCUUCGUCCUUUCUCUUUCUUCUGUCGUGGUCAGGUCUUGAGUCUUACUCAAUACUCACACCUUGUAACACAGCCAAGAACUCCUUCUUUGCUGAUCUAUUUUGAACUCCUUCAAAAUCUUGUCACGGUAUGUAUUCAUUUGAAAUUACUAUUAAGCGUUUUUGAUCUAUCCUUAUAGAUCUUGAUGCUCAAUGUUCAAGUAGCUUAAUCCAGGUUUUCCAUUAAAAACACUUUUCAAAUAACCCUGGAUGCUUUCCAGAAAUUCUACAUCAUUUCCGAUCAACAAUAUGUUAACAACAUAUACUCAUCAAAAAUUCUAUAGUGCUCCCACUCACUUCUUUGGAAAUACAAGUUUCUCAUGAACAUUGUAUAAACCCAAAAUCUUUGAUCAUCUCAUCAAAGCGUUCAUUCCAACUCCGAGAUGCUUACUCCAAUCCUUAGAAGGAUUGCUGGAGCUUUGCAUACUUCUUAGCAUCUUUCAGGAUUGACAAAACCUUCUGGUUGUAUCACAUACAACCUUUCCUCAAGAAAAUCAUCAAGGAAACAAUGUUUUGACAUCCUAUCUGCAAGAUUUCAUAAAUAAUGCAGUAACUGCUAAUAUAGUUCCAACAGACUCUUAGCAUCGCUACGAGUGAGAAAGUCUCAUCGCAGUCAACUCCUUGAACUUGUCGAAAAACAUCUUAACGACAAGUCGAGCUUUCUUAAUGGUGACACUUACCAUCAUUGUCUGUCAUCCCUUUUAAAAUCCAUCUGCACCCAACAGCCUUACGACCAUCAAGUAGUUCUUCCAAAGUCUAUACUUUGUUUUAUACAUGGAUCCUCUCUCGGAUUUUAUGGCUCAAGCCAUUCGUCGGAAUCCGGGCCCACCGUCGCUUCUCCAUAGCUCGUAGGUUCAUUGUCGUCUAGCAACAUGACUUCCAAGACAGGAUUACAUACCACUCUGAAGUAGAACGCAUCCUUGUCGACCUACGAGAUUUGGUAGUGACUUGAUCCGAAGUUUCAUGAUCACUAUCAUAAGCUUCCACUUCAAUUGGUGUAGGUGCCACAGGAACAACUUCCUGUGCCCUGCUACACACUAGUUGAAGUCAUGGUUCAAUAACCUCAUCAAGUCUCCACCAUCCUCCCACUCAAUUCUUUCGAGAGAAACUUUUCCUCGAGAAAGGACCCGUUUCUAGAAACAAUCACUUUUGCUUCCAGAUCUGAAAUAGGAGGUAUACCCAACUGUUUUGGGUAUUCUAUGAUGAUGUAUUUAUCCCCUUUGGGUUCGAGCUUAUCAGCCUGAAACUUUUUCACAUAAGCGUCGCAGCCCCAAACUUUUAAGAAACGACAGCUUAGGUUUCUCUAAACCACAGUUCAUACGGUGUCGUCUCAACGGAAUUGUGUGGUGCCCUAUUUAAAGUGAAUGCGGUUGUCUCUAAUGCCUAACCCAUAAACGAUAGUUGUAAUUCGGUAAGAGACAUCAUGGUAUGCACCAUAUCCAAUAGGGUGCAGUUAUGAUUUUCGGACACACCAUCACAAUAUGGUGUUCCAGGCGGUAUUAGUCGUGAAACAAUUUCCGCAAUUUCUUAAUCGUGUGCCAAACUCGUAACUCAGAUAUUCAUCUCUAUGAUCAUAUCACAGACAUUUUAUCCUCUUGUCACGACGAUCUUCAACUUCACUCUGAAAUUACUUGAACCUUUCAAUAAUUUAGACUUGUGUUUCAUCAAGUAAAUCUACUCAAAUCAUCUGUGAAGUAAGAACAUAACGAUAUCCACUGCGUGCGUCAGCACUCAUUGGACUGCACACAUCAAAUGUAUUACUUCCAACAAGUUGCUCUCUUGUUCCAUCUUACUGAAAACGAGGCCUUUCAGUCAUCUUGCCCAUGUGGCAUGAUUUGCAUGUCUCAAGUGAUUCAAAAUCAAGUGAGUCCAAAUGAUCCAUCUGUAUGGACUUUCUUCAUGCAUAUAUACUAAUAGACAUGGUUCGCAUGUCUCAAUCUUUUCAAAAACGAGUGAGUCCAAAGGUCCAUCAACAUGGAGCUUCUUCAUGCGUUUUAUACCAAUAUGACUCAAGUGGCAGUGCCAUAAGUAUGUGGUACUAUCAUUACUAUCUUAUAUCUUUUGGCAUGAACAUGUGUAUCACUACGAUCGAGAUUCAAUAAACCAUUCAUUUUAGGUGCAAGACCAUUGAAGGUAUUAUUCAAAUAGACAGAGUAACCAUUAUUCUCCUUUAAUGAACAACAUAAUCCAAUCAUGUCUAUGCUCAACGUAAACACCAAAUAACAAUUAUUUAGGUUUAACACCAAUCUCGAUGGUAGAGGGAGAAUGCGAUGCUUGAUCACAUCAACCUUGGAAACACUUCCAACACAUAUCGUCAUCUCACUUUUAGCUAGUCUCCGUUUAUUCCGCAGCUUUUAUUUCGAGUUACUAACACUUAGCAACCGAACCGGUAUCUAAUACCCUGGUGCUACUAGGAGUACUAGUAAAGUACACAUUAAUAUAAUGUAUAACCAAUAUACUUCUGUCGACCUUGCCAGCCUUCUCAUCUACGAAGUAUCUAGGGUAGUUCUGCUUCAGUGACCGUUCCCCUCAUUUCAGAAGCACUUAGUCUCGGGUUUGGGUUCAACCUUGGGUUUCUUCACUAGAGCAACAACUGAUUUGCCGUUUCAUGAAGUAUCCCUUCUUGCCCUUGCCCUUCUAGAAACUAGUGGUUUUACUAACCAUCAACAAUUGAUGCUCCUUCUUGAUUUCUACUUUCGCGGUGUCAAACAUCGCGAGUUGCUCAAGGAUCAUCAUGUCUAUCCCUGAUAUGUUAUAGUUCAUCACGAAGCUCUAAUAGCUUGGUGGCAGUGACUAUGGAGAACCAUCACUAUCUCAUCUGGAAGAUUAACUCCCACUCGAUUCAAGUGAUUGUAGUACUCAGACAAUCUGAGCACAUGCUCAACGAUUGAGCUUUUCUCCCUUAGUUUGCAGGCUUAAGAAACUUGUCAGAGGUCUCAUACCUCUUGACGUGGGCAUUAGUCUGAAAUCCCAAUUUCAGUCUUUGGAACAUCUCAUAUGUUCUGCGACAUUUCAAAACCGUCUUUGGUGCCACAAUUUUAAACCGUUAGCAUCACACACUGAACUAUCACGUAGUCAUCAAAACGUGUAUGUCAGAUGUUUCGUAACAUCUACAGACAACGCUCGAGGUUCAGCACACCGAGCAGUGCAUUAAGGACAUAAGCCUUCUGUGCAGCAAUGAGGACAAUCCUCAGUUUACGGACCCAGUCCGCAUAAUUGCUACUAUCAACUUUCAACUAAAUUUUCUCUAGGAACAUAUCUUAGUAGAACUAAAGCGUAAGCUACGACAUUAUUUGCAAAGACCUUUUGACUAUGUUCAUGAUAAUUAAGUUCAUCUGAUUAUUUAAUGAACUCCCACUUAGAUAGACAUCCCUCUAGUCAUCUAAGUGAUACAUGAUCCGAAUCGACUAGGCCGUGUCCGAUCAUCACGUGAGAUGGACUAGUCAUCAUCGGUGAACAUCUCCAUGUUGAUCGUAUCUACUAUACGACUCAUGUUCGACCUUUCGGUCUCUUGUGUUCCGAGGCCAUGUCUGUACAUGCUAGGCUCGUCAAGUCAACCUAAGUGUUUCGCAUGUGUAAAUCUGGCUUACACCCGUUGUAUGCGAACGUUAGAAUCUAUCACACCCGAUCAUCACGUGGUGCUUCGAAACAACGAACCUUCGCAACGGUGCACAGUUAGGGGGAACACGUCUCUUGAAAUUUUAGUGAGGGAUCAUCUUAUUUAUGCUACCAUCGUUCUAAGCAAAUAAGAUGUAAACAUGACAAACAUCACAUGCAAAUCAUAAAGUGACAUGAUAUGGCCAAUAUCAUCUUGCGCCUUUGAUCUCCAUCUUCGAGGCGCGGCAUGAUCACCUUCGUCACCGGCAUGACACCAUGAUCUCCAUCAUCAUGAUCUCCAUCAUCGUGUCUUCAUGAAGUUGUCUCGCCAACUAUUACUUCUACUACUAUGGCUAACGGUUAGCAAUAAAGUAAAGUAAUUACAUGGCGGUUUUCAUUGACACGCAGGUCAUACAAUAAAUUAAGACAACUCCUAUGGCUCCUGCCGGUUGUCAUACUCAUCGACAUACAAGUCGUGAUUCCUAUUACAAGAACAUGAUCAAUCUCAUACAUCACAUAUAUAUAAUUCAUCACAUCCUUUUGGCCAUAUCACAUCACAUAGCAUACCCUGCAAAAACAAGUUAGACGUCCUCUAAUUGUUGUUGCAUGUUUUACGUGGCUGCUAUGGGUUUCUAGCAAGAACGUUUCUUACCUACGCAAAAGCCACAAUGGUGAUAUGCCAAUUGCUAUUUACCCUUCAUAAGGACCCUCUUCAUCGAAUCCGAUCCGACUAAAGUGGGAGAGACAGACACCCGCUAGCCACCUUAUGCAUCAAGUGCAUGUCAGUCGGUGGAACCUGUCUCACGUAAGAGUACGUGUAAGGUCAGUCCGGGCCGCUUCAUCCCACAAUGCCGCCGAAUCAAGAUAAGACUAGUAACGGCAAGCAAAUUGAACAAAUCAUCGCCCACAACUACUUUGUGUUCUACUCGUGCAUAGAAUCUACGCAUAGACCUGGCUCAUGAUGCCACUGUUGGGGAACGUAGCAGAAAUUCAAAAUUUUCUACGCAUCAACAAGAUCAAUCUAUGGAGUUUACUAGCAACGAGAGGGAAGGAGUGCAUCUACAUACCCUUGUAGAUCGCGAGCGGAAGCGUUCAAGAGAACGGGGUUGAUGGAGUCGUACUCGUCGUGAUCCAAAUCCCCGAUGAUCCUAGCGCCGAACGGACGGCACCUCCGCGUUCAACACAUGUACGGUUGGGAGAGACGUCUCCUCCUUCUUGAUCCAGCAAGGGGGGAGGAGAAGUUGAUGGAGAUCCAGCAGCACGACGGCGUGGUGGUGGAAGUAGCGGGAUCCCGGCAGGGCUUCGCCAAGCGCAAGCGGGGAGGAAGAGGUGUCACGGGAGGGAGGGAGGCGCCAGGGCUUGGGGUGCUGCUCCCAUGCGCCCCCACUAUAUAUAGGGGUGGAGGGGGCUGGUUUCUUGCCCUCCAAGUCCAUUGGGGCGUUGGCAAAGGUGAGGAAAAGAAAUCCCAUCAUUUCCCUUCCCCACCGAUUGUUAUCCCCCUUUUUUAGGGAUCUUGAUCUUAUCCCUUCGGGAUAUGAUCUUAUUCCUUCUAAGGUGGGAUCUUGGUGCACCUUGACCAGGGGUGUGGGGCCUUGCCCCCACUACCCACGUUCAUGUGGCCCCCCCCCCCAUACAGGUGGGCCCCACUUCGGAACCUUCUAGAACCUUCCCGGUACAAUACCGAACAAUCCCGAACAUUUUCCGGUGGCCAAAAUAGGACUUCCCAUAUAUAAAUCUUUACCUCUGGACCAUUCCGGAACUCCUCGUGACGUCCGGGAUCUCAUGCGGGACUCCGAACAACUUUCGGUUAACCGCAUACUAAUAUCUAUACAACUCUAGCGUCACCGAACCUUAAGUGUGUAGACCCUACGGGUUCGGGAGACAUGUAGACAUGACCGAGACAUUUCUCCGGUCAAUAACCAACAGCGGGAUCUGGAUACCCAUGUUGGCUCCCACAUGCUCCACGAUGAUCUCAUCGGAUGAACCACGAUGUCGAGGAUUCAAUCAAUCCCGUAUACAAUUCCCUUUGUCAAUCGGUACGUUACUUGCCCGAGAUUCGAUCGUCGGUAUCCCAAUACCUUGUUCAAUCUCGUUAGCGGCAAGUCACUUUACUCGUACCGUAAUGCAUGAUCCCGUGACCAAACACUUGGUCACAUUGAGCUCAUUAUGAUGAUGCAUUACCGAGUGGGCCCAGAGAUACCUCUCCGUCAUACGGAGUGACAAAUCCCAGUCUCGAUUCGUGCCAACCCAACAGACACUUUUGGAGAUACCCGUAGUGCACCUUUAUAGCCACCCAGUUACGUUGUGACGUUUGGCACACCCAAAGCACUCCUAUGGUAUCCGGGAGUUGCACAAUCUCAUGGUCUAAGGAAAUGAUACUUGACAUUUGGAAAAGCUCUAGCAAACGAACUACACGAUCUUGUGCUAUGCUUAGGAUUGGGUCUUGUCCAUCACAUCAUUCUCCUAAUGAUGUGAUCCCGUUAUCAAUGACAUCCAAUGUCCAUAGUCAGGAAACCAUGACUAUCUGUUGAUCAACGAGCUAGUCAACUAGAGGCUCACUAGGGACAUGUUGUGGUCUAUGUAUUCACACAUGUAUUACGGUUUCCAGUUAAUACAAUUAUAGCAUGAACAACAGACAAUUAUCAUGAACAAGGAAAUACAAUAAUAACCAUUUUAUUAUUGCCUCUAGGGCAUAUUUCCAACAUGUUAGCCAUCAAAUAAUGAGGCACUGGAUGCUCCUUUAUGCAUCCAAAAAAGGCCACUCAAUGUUUUACAUUGCUUCAGGCCUUAACAAAAAAAGUGACAGUCUGAACUGCCACCAAAUCAAGCAUCAGGGGGAGCAUUUAGAUCAGGAAUUAGGCUGUUGCUCAUAUCUUCUCCAAACAUCAGCCACCAUGCCCUCUCACCUGGGAUUGCUCCUCUUCCUAUACCUGCAUCUGCAUUUCUUCCUCCCCUGCCUCUCCAAGCAUGCACAUUUCUUCCUCCUCUUACUGGAACUGCAUUAGCAUUUGCUCCUCUUCCUGGCACUGCAUUUGCUCCUCUUCCAAGCACUGCAUUUGCAUUUGAUCCUCUUCCAAGCACUGGAUUUGCUCCUCUGCCAAGCACUGGAUUUGCUCCUCUUCCAAGCAUUGCAUUUGUAUUUGCUCCUCUUCCAAGCACUGGAUUUGCAUUUGCCCCUCUUCCAAGGAUAGCAUUUGCUCCUCUUCCAAGCAUUGCAGUUGCAUUUGCUCCUCUUCCAAGCACUGGAUUUGCAUUUGCCCCUCUUCCAAGGAUAGCAUUUGCUCCUCUUCCUCUCCUUGCUACUGGAUUUCCUUCUCCUCUUCCUCUCCUUUUCCUUCCUCUUCCUCUGCCAGUAGCUUCAGAUCCUUCUCCUCUGUCAACUGUUGUUCUUGCCAUUGUCUGUCUAGCAAUGUUCAUCUCUGUAGUGACCCUUGGCUGUGGUAUUGCAGCACAAGCAGCAGCAACAAAUGAAGACUGUUGUGGCAAUGGGCCAUGAACUCUUUGUUGAGCUCUUCUAGCUCUAUCUCUGGUAGCCAUGUUGAAAGACCAUGCUGGUGGGUAACUCACUAGGAUCUAACCUAGGAUCUGGCCUGGUAUGGUAUAUGUUCUGCAAAGAAGAAGUUCAAAUUAUUCAGUUGAGACUGAAACAUUCUUCAGUUACAAGUGAAACUUUAUUACUUACAAGUGAAACAUACCUGCAGAAAAGUUGGAUCAUCAUAAUUUUCAUCCACUAGCUCUACCCCUUCUUCAACAAGUGCUUCCUGCCAUCUGUAGUGGCCCUUUCUGUUGUGGUCAGCUCUGCCACAUAUGGAGCAAUGCAUUGUAACACCUUUCUUGUUCAAAUAUCUCACACCAUGUUUGAUUUUCUCUUCAGGUGUUUUUUUCCUGUUUUUCUUUGGCCUGCCCAGCUGUUUAGUGAACACUGGUGGGAAAACCUUGUAUCCUGGCUGCACCUCCCAGUAUUUAGGGUCCCUUAGAGGGACCAGUGUGUAGCCAUAUGCUUUCAUAUAGUUCUCCACAAUGUAGCAGUCAUGAACCAUUAACUCUGGGUCAAUUCUUUCUUCCCUACAACAUGCUAUGGAAGGCCACAAGGCACACUAGAUAACUGCCAUCUCCUGCAAUCACAGGUAUGCAAACACAAGUCCACUGAGUAGCUAGAAUUUCCAGACUGAACUCUGAAUUUUUGUUGGCCAGCUUCUGAAAGAUGACAAUUUGCAGCAAAUUCAGUGUUCUUGUCUAACGUCUUCUUGAUCUUUGGGCAUAUUCUCUGCCCUGCCCACUUUUCUAUUGCCUCUCUUUGUUUGCUCACAAGCCUUUGCAUGAUUUUGUAGAAUAUAUAUUCCAGCAUUGACAACACUGCCAUCUCUCUGCCUUUAAGGAUAUAGAUGUUAAACACUUCAGAAUUAUUUUUCAGUAGAAUGUCACAUUUGGGAAAUUCACUGAAAAAUGUUUUACACCAAGUCUUUGGAUCAAGUCUUUCAGUCCAAUGAAAUGCAACCGAACUAUCUGCAUCCAUUUUCUCACAGUUCUGCCUCCAGUUCACUUUGUUUGGUGAUCUUGCAAUGGCCCACAGGUCUUGCUUCAGCAACUCUCCCUUGUGCUUCUCAUUGAAAUUCUGAUAGAUAUGCCUCACACAAAACAUAUGCGCUGCAUCUGGCCACACUUUCUGCACAGCAUUUAUCAAUCCCUUUUGCUUGUCACUCAUAAUUGUGAAAGGAGCAGUGUUAAUGAUGUUGAGAUCAUCUCUCAAAGUUGUCAGAAACCAUUCCCAGGAUCCUGUGCAUUCUACUUCAACCCAACCCAUUGCAAUGGGGAAAAUGCAGUCAUUUGGAUCAAUUCCAACAUCACUAAGCAAAACUCCUUUGAACCUUGUUUUCAUGUGACAUCCAUCAAUGAAAAUGAUAGGCCUGCACCCCUUUAACCACCCUAUUUUACAUGCAUCAUAAGACCAGUACAGUGUCUUCAGACACUUCCUGCCCAUUGGAAAUUUUGGGUCUUUCUUCAGCUCAGUUGAUAACAGAAAUGUAGAGCCAGGGUUUGUAGUCCUUAAUUCAUGACCAUAGUCCCAUAGCCUACUGAACUGAUGUUCUUCAUCACCAUGGAUCUCUUUCAGGGCUGCAGUUCUAGCCCUUGCUAGCUUCCAUCUGUUAGGGGUCACAUUGAAUGCCUUGGUGAUUUUUCUUGCAAAUGUACCAAGUGACAUUUUCUGGUCAUCCCUCAACUCAUCUAUAAAAUACUGGCACAGAAACUUAGCUGUCAUCUGCCUUAUCUUCCAUUUCUUCUGACAACAGUACUCUCCAUAGUAAGCCUUGAUUACAAAUCCCCCUGUCCUGUUGUCCUUGCCAGCUUUUAGCCACCAUGGGCAACCUCUUUCACAAACAGCCUCUAUUCUAGUUUUGUCAUUCUUUAACUUCUUGAUCUGAACUCUGUUCUUGACAGAAUAUGCAGUAAUAGCAAGUCUAAGCUCCUUCACAUCAGCAAAGACCAUCCCAACUUUGAAGGCAGGGGCAACUAUGUCCACCUUUGAAUUGAAGGCAGUAAACUUGUACCUCAACUGCUCUGCUUCCUCAAUGGGCAGAUUAAGAUCUUCAUCAUCAAGCAAAUAGUCAUCUACCUCCACAUCAUCCUCUUCUUCUUCAGCUUGUUCAUCAACAUCAAAGUCAAUGUUGUCAUCAUAAAGAUCAUCACCCCCCUCAUCUAUGUCAUAAUCACUGUCACUGAAAUCUGAUUCAGGAACAACUAUAUCUUCAAUUUUUUUUUACAGAAAGACUGUAAGGGAACCCCCUACAGUAUAAUUGGUGCAACAACCCCAAAUUGCAAGUACCAUGCCUUGAACCUGGGUGGGUGGGAAGGCAUCAGCCCCUUCCCACCACUAGGCUAUGCCUUAGUCUGCAACUAUAUCUUCAAUUACUGCUACUCCAUCUUCAGUAAGCAAAUUGUGCUCUACACCUUCUAUCAGCAAACUUUCAGGUUCUGUUCCAUUUGCAGCAAUUUCUGACAUUGGAUCUUCUUCAUUGACAGAAAUGACACUGUGCUAGAAAGAUGCUUCACUUGCAAUGUGCAUUGCAACAGAGCACUGAAUUGAUGGCAAUGUGCAUAUGGAUUCAGCCCUGAAAUUGCUGAUGAAAUCUGCAUGGUCAACCAUAAUAGCCAGCACUUUAUGCUCAACACUAGCUCUGAUGAUGUGUUGCACAUCAUCAUCAGAUUUAAUUUUGACCAAACCAUCUGCAAUUGAUUUAUCAGGCAAGCACCAGUAAAGUAUGUGCUCACCCACUGGAUAUUCCAACCAAGUUAGGUGCUCUUCAAAGAAAGAAUAUGAGAAUGUGGUAGCAUCAACAUAAUCAAGAAAUUCCACUGAAGGGUUCCAGUACUCCAAAUUACUGAUUGGGCCGCAGAAAAUUCCACCAUGCUCAAGUUCAAGUGUAAAGAAAGAAGUGUCCACCCUUUGUCCAUUUGCUGAAUCACACACUGCAUCAAAUAUGUGUAAUUUGUAAGCAAUGCACAAUGAUGUAUACACUUAAUAGUAAAAUUAAGUUAGCUGAGAAGUUCAGUUAACUGAGAUGUUCAGUUAACUACAGUGAACUAAAAACAUUGUGAAUAACUACAGUGCACUUACAAAAUUCAGAUAACUACAGUUAACUGAAAAAAUUCAGUCAAAUGUCCUAAAAUCAAUACUUGAGCUAACUGAAGUUGGUGCCAUUGAACACAACCAACUGGUGGCAUCACUAACACCUGAAACAUGAGCAUGACCAUUGCAAUAGUAAGCAUUAACACCUGAAACAUGAACAACUAAAUUUGGUGGCAAUGAACACAAUCAAGUAUUGUCAGAUUUGCUUUCGGUGCACAUGAAUGGAGGACCGACCCACAACUCCAGUCUAACAAGCUAACAUAUGAACGAAAAAGAAGACCCACUUGUUAGGCCAAACCCAAGACUUUGCCACCCUAAACCCUAACCUAAUCUACUCGGCCAAAACCCACUAGGCCAAAGCCCUAGCUUUAAUGCCGUCAGACAAACCCAACAGCAUUCAACAAGCACACCACCGUGAGACACACCGACGUGGCGGGGCUGAUGCGGACGACGGCGACACAACGACGACGAUGAAACAGAGCACAGGUGGAACACGGAAGGAGGCGGAAGAGGGGACAGGAGCUCACCAUAGUCCGGUGGGAUGACGCCGAGCGGCCGGAUGAGAUGAGCGGAAGGAGGUGGCUCCAUCCCGCCGGCGAACUCCGGCGACAACGGCGCGAUGACGAGCGUCAUCACCAAAUCGCCACCACACUGUCUCCCCCGACAGGACAGCGGGAGAGGUCGAACGGAUCUGAUGCAACUCCCGUGGCAUUUAAUUCAGGUGGGUGUAGUGCAGGUUGAAUCAAGUAAACGGCAGGGGCCUAUGUGCAAAAUUCCCAAAGCUGACCGGUCCACCCUCCGGACUGCCACUUGUCAUGCUGUGAGUGGCUGUGGACCAAAACAUCACAUAGGGUGUUAAGUUGUAGGAGUCCUAGUAACAUUUUGCAAGUUUUGGACUAAAACAUCACAUUCUGUGCAAGUUUGUGGAUCCGGAUACUAUUACCUCUUGUUUAUACUAUCCGUCAGGUGACGGGACGUCUCGCAGGCAGCCCAGCCUGCUCCCUCCCUCCUGGCGACGGGACGUGUUUUGUACUAGUACGUGCGCGGGCUAAUCGAUCACCGGUCGGUGCUGCUAGUGGUAAAUCAGUGAGCACCGCAGGCUUUGUUUAAGUGGGCAAUGCUUCGUUAGCUAGAGUGACUGUUGAAAGCAGUAGAUUGGGCACUGCACUGUAGUACCGGCGAGUUGUUGCUGACACGACGGCGCAUCCGUCAGGAGAGGAUAAUGCCGUGCCCUGAUUCGCCUGUUGUUCGUCUCCCACGUAAUUCGCACGAUCGUGAAAAUGCAGUCCUAUGGUACCCCUUUAUCGAAAAAAGUCCUAUGGUACCCCACGGGAUUAAUUUGAGAGAAUGCUCGACGGCGCAGGAAAAACAAGGGAAUCCUAUGAAAUUUUUCCUUCAGAACGUAGUGCAGAUGUACCGGAUGGGAAAAAUUUCCUAAGGAUUCCAAUCCUAUUCCUAUACGUCAAACGAAUAACCCGAAUCCUCCAAAAGUCCUAUAAAAAUUCCUUUAAAUCGAAGGAGCCUUUGAUUUAUCCAGUUAAAGAAUUGGUGAGCUUUGCUGUACCGGAGGCAAGCAGUAGUAGUGCUGUGCAGAGCAAGGACUACCCAGUGUCGCCAGACAAAAGUUGACUCUUUUGUGAAGUGUCACUGUUAUUUUAGGGGAUGUUUGGAUUGUGACUAUAUUUGCCUUAUGUUGUCACAUUACUUUUUGCCACACUUGCCUAACUUGAGUUAGAUCAAAUUGUUAGCCACACUUUGGCUUGCCUAAGUGAAUCUUACCACACUUUUUGUGUCUAUGACAUGUGGGGUUCAUUGCUCAGAAAAAAUUCUUGCCUUAAGUGUGGCUAGAAGCAAACACCUACCUAACUUGAUCAAACUUGCUUAAGAUGAGGUGUGGCAAAGUGUAACAAUAUAUGGCUGGAAACCAAACAACCUCUUAAAUAAGUCUGAACGGUGUUCUGACCGGGGACGGAGGCAGGAUCGGGCCAGGGCCCGGGCCGGCUUCAGCGUACUGCAGCUACAGCGCUUCCGAACCAUGGCCUGUAGCCCCGGGCAGGCUUCACUGUGGCACUGUAGCCCUUGGCUACCGGCAGUACAGGAGAAAUCUGAAGAAACUAGACAGCCAGGACACUGGCUGCUGUCGUGUCACACACACAAAAAAAUAAAUUGAAUUGCAUCAAGCAAGGAUAAUUAGGGCUCAGCUUGUGUGGGGGAACGGGAAUGGGGCACACUCACUGUUGUGCAUUCAAGAAAGGCCUGGGAUCCUCUUCUGAAUUUCUUACAUGGGUGUUAAACACCAGCUUCAGACGAGCAGUGGAUGGGUAGCGAUAGGCAAUAGCAUAGCACACCCUUUCUUCCCUGAAGCCAGGCCAGGCAACGGUCCAGUACCAAUUAUAGGUACCCGGGACAGUGCAUUAACACGACUCAACCAGGAGCGGGCGAGCGAUCACCAUUGCCGAGCCCAGGAUUUGCCCUACUACUCUGUAACUUGAACACAGUCCAAGGUUUACAGAUUGCCAGACCAAAGCAAGCUCCAGCGAAUUGAGAUGUUUCUUCUCCAAAUAAAUUGAGUGAAAGCGUCUGAAGAACACCGAGAAGAAUUGCUUGCAGUGUACUCGUGGAUUCUGAAUGGAACUAGGUGAUGAAAGCUAUGCAAGGUGCGGCAGUAGGCCUGUGGUUUUUUUGGGUAGAGGAGAGGCAUGGCGGCCAUGGAUGGAUGGAUGGGAUGGCGGCAUGGGCAUGCCUGAACCUGAACCUGAACCUGAACCUGGACAAGCAAGCAAGCUGCACUGUCUCUCUGAUAGUCUGAUUGUGCCUCCGCCCGCUGCUCGCGUGUGCGUGCGUGCGUGGGCGUACAGUUACCUAGCACGUAUAGUACGAGUAGUACCCAUCGUCAGUCAAUCAUCACGCGCGGCAUGGGACUGUUGAAAACCCGCUCUUGAUGCAGCACUGCUUCAUCAUUGGCAUCAUGGGUUUCAGAGCGACCUCCCUCCUCUGUGUCUCUUUGAUUCUUCAUCCUCCUAGCGGCCGGGUAGCAGCAUGCAGGCAGGGAGCGUGGGAUUGGUCUAUUGUGGCCACGGCAACGUGGCGUCAUAGACUCAUGGUGCCCUGUCCUCUGUUGUACUACAAGCAAUGAUUUCCUCUUCAUUUGUUCGCUUGUCCUCGACACAGGUUGAAUUCGUGCCUACAGAUGAAGGACUUGCGCAAUCUAUCUAAAAAAUCGUUACGAAUUCGAAUUCACGUUGAUUGCUCCCCUUAUCUUCUAGAUUGGUGGUGUUUUAGUAUCUUACCGCUUGAAUGAAAUUCGUUAUUCUAACCUCAAGUUUUACUGCUCAUCACGAGCUUAAAUGAGCUCGCGAGCAGUAGGUGACUUUUGGUUUUAGAUGUGUUAUUUAGGAAAGAAGGAGCAAAAUAUCGCAAAUGAUAUAACUCGCUUACUGCUAAAUGUAUCUCUUUUUUUUUUAGAAAGUGCUAAAUGUAUCUUUGUCUCGCCUUUGGCGCCAGCUGUGUAAUAGUCUAAGUGGACUGGCCCAAUAGAGCGGUUCUGGGAAGGUUCCAUUGACAGGUACAAUUCGGUUUUGAACCUUCCGCGUAUUUUUUUCUUUCCUUUUUUCCCUUUGUGUGUUUUCUUGGUCGGGUUUCUUAGAGUUUUUUCUUAUUUUAUGAUCUGUGUUUUUUUUGGUUCUCUUUGUUUUUUUUCGGUUUUUCUGGUUCGUUUUUUCUUACUACCUUCGUCUCAAAAUAUAUGAUGUAUUUGUAGGCUACUGUAGCCUAAAAAAUGUCAUAUAUUUCGAGACAGAGGUAGUAUUUUUAUCAAACACAUGUCAUUUUUAAUAGAAGUUAAACAUUUUUGGAUACAUGUUGAAAAUUUGUCACAUGCACAUUAGACAUUCUUUGUACAUAAGUUGAACAGUUUUCAAAUACACGUAGAAACAUUUUGAAUGCACACUGAACAUUUUUCUGAAUACAUGUUGAACAUUUAACAGAUACACGGUGAACAUUUUUUCAAAACACAUUGAACAAUUUUUAAGUAUUGAACAUUUUCUAAAUUCACACUGAAUGUUUUUCAAAAAUGCGCAAAUCAUUUUUAAGUGUUGAACAUUUUCUCAAUCCACACUGAAUGUUUUGAAAAUACACGGGGAGCAUUUUUCAUUAAUAAUAAUAAUAUGAAUAUUUUUCAAAACACGCAAAACAUUUUGUAAGCGUUAGGAACAUUUCUUUAAAUGCCAUGAACUUUUUUUUCCAUAUGGUACAAAACAUUUUCCAAAGUGACGCGAACAUCUUUUCCUAAUAAUGUCACAAACAUAUCUCUGUAAAUGUGAUGAACAAUGUUUUGAUGAUAUGAACAUUUUUUACAAUUGACAUGAAAAGUGUUUUGCAGUAGAUGAACAUUUUUAAUGUUUAGUGAUUUUUCUAAAUUUUAGUAGGAUAAUUUUCGAUAUAUGUAUAUAUUAGUUUUCGAAAAAUAUAAAAAAAGAGAAUAAUCUGUAAUUUGUAAUAUGUAUAUGGGCCGCAGCAAACGGCGAACGUACAUACUAUAACGAUGUAACAGCCGACGCAACGAUCAGUUUGAGAGACGUAGAUGCUCCCUGGAAUAAUCUGUAAUUUGAGUAGUAGCUGCGGCCCAUCUCUACAUGCCACGGCCUAACAGUUGAGGCCCAAACAGUUGGCUUUGCAGCGUCGUCUCAAAAAAAAAAGUUGGCUUUGCAGGGCAAUAAAAAACUACCGCACGCGGUCAAAGGUUGAGUGUUCUGGAAAGACGCGCUCAGUCAUCGGAAGCGGCUCCCCGACAGCUGGAACGUGCCCAGUCGACGAGGAAUGGGUUCCAGUCACUGAUCUGUGGUCCCGCCGUUGCACAGCCUGUCAUUCGGGUAUAAAGUGGACCCAUAUUAUAUGUUCAUUCUGAAUAUAAAAUAACCCCAGGCGUGAUCCUGCUGGGCCCCACGCGAUUGAGUACGCUUUGGAUGUUUUAAGAAAAGCCAAGCUUUUUCUGUGCAGCUAGACCCUGAACAUUUCUAGAUUUUACAGAACUACCCAGCCUAAUCCACAUAACCAUGCAUUAUUCAUGGAGAAACAAUUGGUCUUGGAUCUUCUUUUUGUUUAGAUUUUUUUAGCAACCUUUUUUUGUUUAGAUUUGUCAAACAACAAACCGUUGAAACAAAAAUAAUACCCCCUCCAUCCUAAAAUUGUUGUCUUCAAUUUGUCUAGAUACUGAUCAUGUGGAGGUCAGCUUACGUUACACUUAGAGGCGAACACAAAUCAAAUGAAAACAAUCGUCAUAGUUCCACAGAGAUAUACUCCCUCCGUUCCUAAAUAUUUGUCUUUUUAGAGAUUUCAAAUGGACAACCAAAUACGGAUGUAUAUAGACACAUUUUAGAAUGUAGAUUCACUCAUUUUGAUCCGUAUGUAGUCACUUGUUGAAAUCUCUAAAAAAACAAAUAUUAACGGAGGGAGUACAAGCAAACACUGUCACAACAGUCACACCCACCCCUUUAACGAACAAAUGGAUCACUUAUGCCACUUUUGAAGCAUCAUGUUGCUUCUCCCAAGUUUUCCAGGAUUUUCAAUGCACAAAAUUUUCCUAAUUGCUUUAAUUUCCGAACGAUCUACUCGCUCUGUCUCCCAUAUUAAUUGUAAUAACGUCUUAUAUUCCCGCAAAAAAAAACAUCUUAUAUCAUAGGACAGAGGGAGUAGUAUUUAAAAUUCAAGCACAAACUACAUAUUUGUUCCCCUUAGAAGUGGAUAAUAAAUGUGCAUAUGCAAAAAUGCUAGAAAAUGUUCGUAGGUGCUAACUCUAUGUCUAAGCUAUAACUAAAAUGACGUGACCUUGAUUCGACACCUAUGUGUCUCAACAUCAACAACGUUCCGUAGGUCGCUGUUGCGUCAGCAAGUCCUAUAUUCAUCGACAUUUUGCUAUAUAUAGCUUCCUCGGUCUCCGAUCUCCAUGAUUUUUAGUCUUGGCCGAACGCUGUGAGCGCGCGUGUGUUCACUCUUUGAUCAUGUAUUGCGUCUACAUGAUUUGCUAGACCCUGUUGGCUAGGCCCGCAAGCAGCGCAGGCGCACGAUGUUUAGAGAUUUCUUUUGUAAAAUAAAAAUAUGCCUCCAAGGACUAGUCCUGAACGGAGUAUUAUAAAAACCAAUAUUAUGAAACCGCGAGGAUCUAUCUAUCUAUAAACAUCCUCCCCUCGACCUUUACGGAAUGAGAACGGAAUCCCUUUUGCGGCCCACCCCUGGAAAGUUCCGUAAAUUCCCGUCCCGUGGAGACAGCGGCCCAACACCAACAGCAACCUGGUAGUACUACUAGUACUGGUAAACAAAUUUCGAGUGGCCAACAGCAAGGAGGAUCGAUCUCCAGAGAGAUUACUCGCUCCCUCCCCCGCGGCGUUUCUUGGAUUUGUCUCCGGAGGAGGAAUCCGGAGCGCCCCAUCCGCGUCUCGAUCGAAUCGCCGGCCCCGUCGCUUCCGCGGAGCUCCCCCGAUCCCGUCGCCCGGUGCGGUUCGAAUUCCGCCCGAAUUGGCGUUCUUGGCGAUCGGUUUGGAGGCGGGACUGGAUUCUUGAUUGGCUGGCCGAGUUGUCUCUGCGGGGAAGCUCCGUCGGCCGGGAAUCGCGCCUUCCUCGUCCGGCCAAGGUGAGCGGCGAGUUCUUCGAUCGGUUAGUUCGGUACAACUGUCAGCGCUUAGCGGUGGGGAUUCUCUGCGGAAUUCCCCCCUUGUUUCUAGCAGAAUUCAGGAGUGAGUUUCAAUGUUUCUUUUGUACCUAGUACUGUAUAUGUGCUAAAUUCGGAGUCUUUGUUGGAAUAUCUCUGAGUGAUGCUCUAUUACAGACGAAAAAGAACUGAUGCUCUCUCCAUUUUUUUUAGAGAAAUACCAAUCUUGGUAAUUGUGGUGGUCAAUUCCCAAAGUAUAUCAUCAAAUUGUGCUGUUUUUAAUCAUGUUAUGUAUGCACUACUUUCUGUAGGAUCAUUGCUCAAAUAAUACCAAGCUGUGCAAUGUCAUGGUUGCCAGUGGCUAAACAUCGCGAUUCUUAAUACACAAUUCUUUCCGCCAGGGAAAUGUGCUAACGAGGGUCUAAUGGGGCAUGAUGGAGGGCAGGAAAGACAGGGGGAGAUCUCGUAGCGUGUUUCGGCGGAUGGCGAUGCAGUGCCUCUGCUCCGGGGAGCAGGCCAAUCUGGUGGAUGAGCUGAACCCGUCCAAUGGCGAAAUCGAGUUGUAUGCCAAAAAUGACGGUCUUCGGGAAGCCGAGUUGUCUCUCCAGGAGGGUGGUUCCCUUAACUAUGAGGUUGGUGCUUCAUCUUGUAGCAUAAAUCUUCUCAUGACCAACAGUGCUUUUUUGUUGUUGAAUCUGCUCAUCGUUUUGAAUUGUCUACUCUAAUGCUUAUAUCACGUUUUCCUUGUACACUUUGCUUCAUGCCAAACGAUACUAUAUGCAACUGAAGUCCUUGAGCUGUUUAUCGGACUGUUUCAUGUAUUGAUUGUCUAUUUUUUCUCCAGAAGAGGGAAUCAUUUUGUCUUUGAUUCUGCUGCAUAAUGUGUCAAAAACAUCUGCCUGUGACAUCUUGUACACGCUUUCUGAAAUUAUAUGUCCCUCUGCCUGCUAUUUCUCUUCAUUGUAAUUCUAUAUUCAAUUUUAUGCUAGUUUGUAGUUACCAUCCUAUAAAUCACAACACAGUACAUACUCUGAAUUUCUGCACCCUGUGUGCUGUAGUACAUCAGUCUGCAAUUUGUACCUGUUGGUAUGCUCUAUUUCUCAAGUGCUUUCACAUGUGUAAGAAAGAUGCCUUGCCUAAUGAUUGUAAGCUUCAUAGCCGUCCCAAUAAGGGUGCUCCAAAUUUAUUUCAUUCAUAGUUCAUAAGUGUAAAUACCAAUAAAUUUUCAGGAAGCAAGGGCAUUGCUUGCAAAAGUCGAGUACCAACAGGGGCAUGUUGAAGAAGCACUUCGUGUGCUUGAUGGGAUAAAUACGGCUGAAUUAAUUCCUUUGGUGAAAAUGUCCAUCAGUAGAUUAGCAAGGGCCGAUCCACAUUCCAGUUAUCCACCAAUGUCCUUGCAUACUGUCAAUCUAGUAAUGGAGACAAUAUAUCUCAAAACUAUAGCACUUCGUGAUCUUGGGAAGUUGAAAGGUACAACCCGUACCUCUCGUUUUUGUACGGAUGCCCAUCAUUUGAUCUUCUCUUCAUCUCUGUCAUACUAUUUCAAACAUUACUUCAACUCAAUUUCGUUUUGCAGAAGCUGCACAGGAGUGCAGUACAAUAUUGGAUGUUAUAGAAUCAGCACUGCCUAAGGGCUUACCAGCCAACUUUGGAGAUGGUAGUAACUUGAAUGCAACAAUACGCAGUGCCGUUGAGUUGCUUCCUGAGCUAUGGAAAUUAGCGGAUUUCCCUCCUGAAGCGCUCUCUUCAUAUAGGAGGGCUCUCCUUAGUAGUUGGAAUCUCGAUGCAAAGGCCAUUGGUAGAAUACAGAAGGAGUUUGCUAUUUUUCUCCUAUACAGUGGCUGUGAGGCCUGCACUCCACCUCUUCGAUCCCAAUUGGAUGGUUCAUUUGUACCUCAGAAUAAUUUGGAGGAAGCUAUUCUUCUUUUGAUGAUUUUAUUGAUGAAAUUCAACCUUAAGAGGCUUGAGAGAGACCCAACUGUGAUGCAUCAUCUGACUUUUGCAUUGUCCAUAUCAGGGCGGUUAAAACCUCUAGCCGGUCAGUUUGAAAAACUAUUACCUGGUGUGUUACACAGCAGAGAGUGGCUGUACAAUGUUGCACUGUGUUACCUAGCAGAAGAAGAUGAUCUAGCUGCCCUCAAUCUGCUCAAAAUGAUACUAAGAUUUGGAGAGGACUCCAGUUGUCUCAAAGAACUUCUUCUAACUUCAAAAAUUUGUAGCGAGAACGGUGCACAUGCUGAAGAAGGUGCAUCCUAUGCACGCAGAGCCCUUGCUAGUCUCGAUGGAGGUUGUGACCAGUUAGAGGUUGUCGCGGACCUUCUACUUGGCAUUUCCCUCUCCCGUCAAGCUAGAUAUGCUCCGAGUGGUACGGAGAGGGCUUCUCAGCAGCGUGAAGCACUGAAGGUGCUUGGUGUUGCUGAAAAGAAGAUGCAAGACAAAGAUUUUAGGGUACUGUACAAUCUGAGCCUUGAAAAUGCUGAGCAGAGGAAACUAGAUGUAGCAGCUCUUUAUGCAAAGAAGUUACUGAAAUUGGAGAAUGGUUCAGAAUUAAGGAGCUGGCUCCUUGUAGCUCGUAUCACGAGUGCUCAAAAACGGUUCGAAGAUGCUGAAUCUAUUGUAAAUGCUGCCCUUGAUCAGACUGCAAAGUGUUGCCAAGGAGAUCUGUUGCAAACCAAAGCCAAAAUUCAGGCUGCAAAUGGGCAAUUUAAGAAGGCAGUCGAGACUUAUACCCAGCUUCUUGCUGUCAUCCAACUCAGGAAGAAAAGUUUCAACUCUGGGAAUUUUGUAUUACAGGUAGCUACCUGAUAAAAAAUCGAUUUUGGAGUUUUUCCUAAAACAUACGACUGUCGUGCUUAAUAUUUUCACAGCAUUAUCUUUCAUUUCUGUACUGUAUCUAUUUGCAUAUAUGAUGACAAACUGAAAACAAAAAUCUGUAUCUGUUAAAUAAAUAACCUUUUACUGUAAUAAGAAAAAGCCAGCCCGAACAGUUUCUUAUCAUAUCUUUGAUUAAUGACAGCUAGAAGGACAAGCAUCUUACAUGAUUUUUAAGCAUAUACAUUCAGUUGACAGAAUAAAUUGCAAUGCCAUGUUGGGAAUGAUUGCUUUUGAGUAAAAGGGGAGAGCAUUGUUCUGUUUGCCGCAUACAGUUAUGGGAUUCCAUUAGAAAAAGAAGUGAGAAGACUUCUGAUAUCGCUGUUCAACUUUUCGCAGGGCUCGAAGGAUGAUGGUAGCAUGGAAACAGAGGCAUGGUACAAUCUGGCCCUUCUGUACCUAAGCCUGUCACAGUGGAGGGAUACAGAGCUUUGCAUAUCGAAAAUAAAGGCUAUCAGUGCAUAUUCUCCCUUGGCUUAUCAUGCUACAGGUGCUUCAUAUUCUCCUUACCACCAACUUCCCCAUUCUCAAGAAUCCUUGCACCGUGUUGACACAACAACAUUUUCAGUAGUUCACAAGGAGACACCAAUUCUUCACCGGAAAACAAAAUUCAUUCUUAAUAUUUACGAAGAUGUUUAUCCAUGCAGGAAAGCUACUUGAAGCAAGAGGGUUUCUAAAGGAGGCUCUUGGAGCAUACUCCAAAGCAUUGGAUCUCGACCCUAAGCACGUACCGAGUUUGAUAUCUGCCGCCGUUGCUCUUCGACAGCUUGGAGGCAGGCCCUUGCCUGCCGCAAGGUGCCUCCUAUCUGACGCACUGAGACUGGACAGAACGAACCAUGUUGCAUGGUUUAACCUCGGCCUAACCUAUGAAGAUGAAGGGGGCAGUUCAUCAGCAGCACUUGAAGCUGCCGAAUGUUUUCAGGCGGCUGCCCUUCUCGAAGAAACCGCCCCGGCUGAACCGUUCAGAUAACAUCGCAUCCAACUUUUAUAGGGAAUAAUCAAACUGUGAGCAGUUGUAGGUCUCAUAUAUAGGAUGAAUAGUGGGUUUGAAGAAAAGAAGUAUACACGGUACAGAAAAUAGUAAAAUACAAAACGCAUGUAUCAUCAUAAUUGCGUUGAUUUUACCAACAUGUUGAAAUUAUAUAUAGCAUCACACGCCCUGGCAGCUCGUGUUUAACUGGCAACUUUUUGCUAUGUGAUUUGGCUGUAAUUUUGAAAGAGCACACGUGAAACGUUGUUAAUAUCACUUCACUAUCAGUACAUUUUGACCAGCACAGAAUGCAAACCAGAUGCUGUAAUAAGCACUAAGGCAGGGAUUGAAAACACAUGCAUUUUUUUCACAGAGUAAACGUCACUGGAAGAACCACAACCAUUACUCAACUGGAUUGGAUGUUAUGUGAAACCAAAUACAUUUUUUUUAAAACCGGCAAGCAGCGUUUUUUUUAAACUUCUGCGAGAGGCACGGAUUUGCUUCCAUGAGAGGCACAGUCGUGCCUCGGAUUUGCUUUCGUGAGAGGAACAACAAGUUUUUUUUCAGGAGAGGCACAGUCGUGACUCUUUUGAAAAGAAAAAAAACAUGCUCCCGGUUAGUUUUUUUGUCUGUUUUUUGCCUUUUUUUCAGAAAAAAAUUCAUCAAAACUAAUCAAGACGAGACCUAUUUUCAAAGAUCUCAACGCGAGGAAUCCAACGGUGAAAACGGUUUGAUAUUUGGACGCACGGUUUAAGAGAUGUAAUGUUUUGAAUAAACGGAUCUACGGAAAAAGGAAACUCUCAGGUUGCAACAACUGGCACACAUGCGUCACUUGUUGCAAUCUGAGGAGGUGGGAAUGACCUUUGCAAAGGGUGCUCCUUAAUUAGUGAUUUCAACGGUGGGAAGCUUUGAGUAACUUUCCAUUCCGAUUUUCUUUCUGUUUUCUCCUUCGGUGUUUUUCAUUAUUUUUUUAAAAAUUUUCUUUUUCUCUUCAAAAUUUUUACUUUUUGUUUUCAUUUUUGGCCAUCCUCUCUUUAAAUUCAUGAUUUAUUUUCAUAUUCGUGAAAAAAAUUAGUUUCAUUUUUUUUCAUUUUUAUGAUUUUUCUAAAAUCGAUGAAAUUUUCUCAAAUUCCUGAUUUUUUUUUCAAACAGGUGAUUUUUUAAUCCGUAAAUGUCAUUAAAUUUAGGAUAUUCUUUUAUCAAAUUUGUGAACUCUUUUCGCAUCCAAGAGCCUUUUCAAACCCAAGAACUUUUUUAAAUCCAUAAACAUUCAUUAAAUGAGUGAACUUUUUACAGAGUCCACACAAUGUUUUUGAAACUCAUCAAUGUUUCUCAAAUUAAUGGACUAAAUCUCAAGCCUUUUAAAAUCCGUGAACACUUUUUCAUAUCAGAGCACUUUUUUUAGUUCCACAAAUUUCUUUUCAAAUUCAUUUUUUUUCAAAAUUAUAUGUUUUUUGAAAUCAUAGUUUUUUAAGUGCACAAAUUUUCCAAUGAAACUAUAUUAAACUGGUGGCCAUGUUACUUAGCGAACGUGCCUCGUGAAAGAGCGAGGAGGUACGAGAGGAUAGGUGGCACUUUCGGGCUGUGGCCCACAUAGCAAACUAGCGAGCACCAGGCCCCCUAUCGACGCCUGAACCGCUGAAUAGGAGGAGGUCUCGGCAAAUCUUAUUGGGCUUCUCCCCAACCUCGCGUAGUGGGCGGGCCCAUUAACUCUUCUUUUCUUGUUUUAAAGCAACAAAAAUGAUGUGCCCCACAAGACUCGAGCUGCACUGGUUCCGAUAUAGUAGUAUGGAUCAAUCUAACCAACUGGGCAACCCGACCUUAUGUGAUAGAUUCGUUUUAUUUCUUAAAACACAACAUUGGAAAAACACAAUGUUUCAUGUUUGGUCUUCUUUUUCUCUUUCUUUUUUUUGUAUCUUUCUAUUCUUUGCUUUCUUUUUCUUUUCAUAAAUGCACAAACUAUUUUAAAUUCGUGAAAUUUUUCAAAAAUCAGUGAACUUUUCCCCAAAAUUAAUGAACUUUUACAAAACUCAUGAACUAUUUUAAAAUUUGGUGAAAUUUUUUCAAAUUCGAGGAAAUUUUCUCAAAAUCGAUUAAGUUUAUUUUCAAAUUUUAUGAAUUUUUUUCAAAUUGGAGGAACUUUUUCAAAUUUGAUUAUCUUUUUUCAAAAUUUAUGAUCUUUUUUAAUUUUCGAUGAUUUUGUUUUUCAAAUUCGAUGAACUUUUUUCAAUUUUUAUGAACUUUUUUCAAAAUCGAUGAACUUUUUUUAAAUUCUUUUUUUUAAAAAUGCAUGAACAUCUUGAAACUCAUGAUUUUCCCCUUUUUUCUCGGUUUUUCAUUUUGUACUAAAGUCAAUGGUUGACAAUUCAGCGGCUGACCGGUCAACCCGACCAGUCAGCAGCGAACCUGCCUAAAAAAAUCAGCAGCGAACCCAGCGAGGCAGGGACCAACAGCUAACAAGUGCCGAGCAAGCGAGCGCGCGUUGGGCCGGCCCAAGUCGCGGCUCCAUGAGCGCCCCUUCCGCGAACGGGCGCCUGAAGCGCUGUAUAGGAGCUCCCAGAGGUCUCCGGAGGGACUCCUCCUAGCGAACCAUUUUCAUUCGCUUGAACACUCAUGGAUCAAUUUGUUCGUACAGGAAUCUCCCCAGAGGACGCGUUCACCAGAUAUUGUGGUCCCAAUAAAAACUCGCAUUUAAUAGAAGUGUAAACAUGAUGAUCAGCUACAUAUGUUCAACACAGUUUACCAUUUAUUUAGACAAAAGAGACAUUUAAUUAGUUAUGCAUGCAUGCAUGCACCAUCUCCGGGCAAGUUGUAUGGCCGGCUCCCGUAUUACUGUCCGUGGACUGGUCCGAAUGAGUCCACAGUUUUAAGGAUCGGCAUCGGAGAUCCUAACAAUUAUGCUGCUCUCGCCUUUUUGUAAUCUUAUUUUUCAAAAAUACACUACUAACUUUUACGGCCUCCUUAGUCACCCUAUCCACUCUCGUCAUGUUUUCGGGUUCCCUUUCAGGGGAUGAGGAUAUUUCGAUGAUUUCUCUGGUAAGAGUUCUUGUCAUUAUUGAUAGUGGCCCUAGAGAAAGAGCUUACGCUGAUUGUUCUAACUUCAUUCAUAUUUGAUUCCGCAACUGAGACCUUUUCCCACAUCUGUGCCAGGAGCACUGGCGGAGCGUAGUGAGGACAAUACCGGGCCUUGGCCACCCCUUGCUAGAGAAAAAUUUACACGGUAUGCUUAUAUUUCUACUAAUCGCUCUACUAAUCCUCCGGCAUGUCUGAUCACCCUAGCCUUUUCUAUGUCAUAGCACACUCGUCUUGGCCCCUCCUUACAUUUGGUUCACGCUCCGCCACUGGCCAGGAGGGCAAGCGGUCAAAGCAGAAAGGGUUCUCGCUUCUCCGUCUGGAAGGACACCGAAUGGACCAAAUCCUAUCGAUCUUUCCUUGGCAUGAUGAUCAUGAUCUGCAAAGUCUGCCAUUUCUUUAGACUAGUAAUCAUGCACGUGCAACGCACGUAUAAUCGUAGAAAGAAAUUUUCCAAUUCAUCCUAGUUAGGAGACAAUUAUUUCAAUAAAAUGAUCAAGUGCAAUAAUGUAACUCCAAUCUUUUGAGCUAAAUAUAGCUUUGCAGAUAUAGUUCUUUCCAUAUGAGCACCAUGUCUCCCGCCGAACAUGCACACACAAUGGACUUCUCAACCAUACAGAAAGACUUAACAAAAACACAUUACAUACAACAGUAACUUAGUCAAUUUCGUCCCACAAAUUGAUAGUCAAGUAACACACAGAUAGAAACUUGGUCAUAGGCUCUGGAUCCAUAUGAAAAAAGAGUACAAAAUAAAACACUGGGGGCUUAGUGACCUAAGUGCCAUGUCAUAACCUAUGUAAUGCUUUUGGAAGUAUACCAGAGUGUUCCUUUUGUGAGAGCAGGGGAACUUGCAAAGAAUGUUUUCAUGUAAAUGAACGAAAUUGAUCUUGUUCCUAAUUAUAAAAUAUUUUUAAACAUUUUGCCCUUUUUUAACAUGCUAUAUACUCAGUACCCAAACAAAAUCAUGUAGCAACCGAAAAGGUAUAGGCAGAACACGUACUCUAUCAGAAGUGAACUUUGGUUCGGACAAAAUCUAGGUUGAGGCUUUGAGUACAUUUGCAAGAACACACGCAUAUCCAGAAUGUUUAGCUGAUAUAUCAUUUCAGAGAAAAUCUGCACGAAAAUCUGCACCACUGGGAAAAUAGCAAGCUAUCUGAUGGAUAUAAUUUUUGCUGAGCCAAUGACCAGACAAAAUCUGAAGUAAUAACUGAAAUUGAGAAGGCUAUAAGAAAUCACUGUGCAGCUACAUCUUCAACUAUACACAUAACAUAGCAAUAUUGGGCACUACAGGCAAAGAUAUGAUAAGAUGAACAUGCUCCUCUGAUCGUCUGAACUGACAAGCUGACAUAUAACAGUCAUUUUUUCUUUGAGAAAAUUUAAUAGAUGCACAUCACUGCAAAAAGAUUGGGAAAUUUCUUUGCUUACCUCAUGCCCGCAGAAAUCAAAAAUACAAGAUGCUUUAUUAUCAACAGAAGUCGCAGGUCUGGGAACUACUUCAGAUAUGAAUAAUUUGGACAGGGUGGUCAUUGUGCAAAUAAUCAUAUCCAAAAUUAUAUAUACGAUUUAUGUUGCAACACAAUAGGUCGACAAAAAAUUCUGAAAAAAACAGUCAAUAAAAUAGGCAUAUGUCAAGGUUAUUUGCAUCAACAUAACAAAUGAUAUACCAUCAAAAACAACAUCUCAAAUAUCAAAUAUGUAAGCUUCACAAAUUGCCUAUGCAAGUAUAUACACCAAUAAGUUUGUUCACAUGAUCCAGCAUCACGUCUUUGUACAAUAAUGCCAUACAACGAUGUCAUUUAACCAAAUACAUUAAUUUCAAGAGGGUUCAAAAAUUCGGUAUUUUUGCACUUGUUUUUGGCACAAAUAUCUCUCUGACUGAAAAAAUCAUGCAAUGAUCAUGAUCAAAUAGGCAUUGCAAACUCACUCCAAUAGCAUUACCAAAAUACCAAAAAUAUUCCUAGCAAUCCUUGAAGAUAGAGGGGGCAUUUCAUCAGGUCACAAUCUAGUCGUUGGAAUCAGUUCUUCAAUAAGACAAUAGCGAUAAUUGUUGUAGAUAAAGUAGACAUAUCUCCAAGGAACUUUCAUGUAUUUUGAAAAUGAAGCGUCAAACGGAAUAGUGAAAAACAAGGAAACCACACCUUGACGUUCCAGAUCUAGGAAGCAUUAGAUGUAGUUAUCUGAUUGCAAGUAGAUAACCGUUGCAGUACAGUGUGAAAUAAAAAACAGACAGAAAAAUCUUAUUAUUUAUGAACCGUGGUUCCACUUCCUUCCCUAUAGUAGCAAGCAUGAUCGAGUACCUUUGACUGGAAAGAAAAGAUGUCUUCAGUAAGUUUUGCUGUAUUGUCAGUUUAUUAUUUGCAAAUUACACGAAAUCCGAUAAACCAUGCAAGAGACCACUACACAGUUGAAGCUUAUCAUCAGUAAAUCUCGCAUUCGAUUUCUCACUAUCAAUUGCACAGGAGAGUAUAAUCCACAGAAAUUUCGAAAGUGGAGGAAAUCAGUGAGCGGAGAUGGGGGGUGGAGAGCUGACCGACAGUGGAAGAGGCCUUUGAGAUUGGUGUGGCUCACGCGGAGGAGCAUAUCUUCCUGAAUGUAAAAUUAAUAAAAGCCUAGUCAACCCAAUUGCACAAUACAAACCAAUCUCCUUUUUUCAGAUGGUAGAUGUCAAUAGCAUCUCAUUCAACUUGACAUGAAAUAGCACUUCUGAAGAAUGUCAAACAAUACGCAUGCCUGUAACUGACAGUUCCCAUUUCAGAUCCCAGUUCACCAUAUUCAGUUAUAAGAACGUAUGACCUGGAUGGAUGCUCUAAUAAAACCAAUGCCAGCUUCCAAUUCCUUCACCAAAGGCAUGCCACCUCCAAGAUGUUAGCAGAGAAAAGCAACGGUGCGUACCUUCGGAACAAUUAGAUCAAAAUAUCACUGCACGAUUCGGAGCGGUUUGCCUGACGCAUUCGGAGCAGGAGGCACUGCUUGGUGCCGACGUCGAUGCGCCGCACAAUGCCCAUUAGCGGAUCCGGUAGCAGGCGGGGUGACCUCUCUGCGGCGACCUCGUCCUCCUCCCCCGCGUCUGACAGGGAUAUCAGGCGAGACCACAGAGAAGCGGCAGGCGUCGACCCGCGACACACGCGUAAGGAGAGGCCGCCGGCUAGAGGUGUGUGCUGACGGCGUGAGUGGGGCGGCGGCGGAUAGGAGGAGCGGCGGUGAAGGUGGCAUCGAGGAGGGCCGGCGGUGGGGCGGCGCAGGUCGCCGGCGUGAGAGCAUGCUCCGGCGGGCGACGAACCGGUGCGGCGGCGGAUAUGAGGAGCGGUGGUGAAGGUGGCGUCCAGGAGGGCCGGCGGUGGGGCGGCGCAGGUCGCCGGCGUGAGAGCAUGCUUCGGCGGGCGGCGCGUGUGGCGCGGCGGCCGGUCGGACGGACGACGGCAGCAGGCGAAGAGAGAAACGGGAGAGGAGAGGGAGGCGUUUGGGCGGACAGCCGGCAGCGCCGGCGACGCGUGGUGUAGGCGAGGCCCAGCGGCGGCGGACGGCGCCAGAUCGGGCGCCUGGCGCUCCGGAGGAGAAGAUGAGAUUAAUUGGGAGGGAGAUCGAGUGUGCCUGGAGCAGAGGAAUUAGCGGGAUAAACAACUCGCCAACGCGAUUCGGGUGGAAUCAAUCCGGCACGCGGAGCGCUAGGAGAAUUGGCAGACCGAGGCGUCUGCUCGGCAGAACAUCUGAUCUAAGCCGUUGAUUUGGAUGGCAGACCAUUUGCGUAAUAUGGACAGUAGGAUAUGUUUAAUUUGAUUUGAUCGGAGGGUCCUGCUUAUCCCGUGUAUAGUUUGUUGUGUGGCUUUAGGAGAGUUUAUGUUUGCUCUUUUAAUAGUAGUAUAGAUGCGUAAUAUGGACAGUAGGAUAUGUUUAAUUUGAUUUGAUCGGAGGGUCCUGCUUAUCCCGUAUACAGUUUGUUGUGUGGCUUUAGGGGGUUUUAUGUUUGCUAUUUUAAUAGUAGUAUAGAUAUAGAUAUACAUAUAGAAGAAAAAAAACGACCUCUUUGGCUAGGUAUGCAUGCAUGCACCGCCUCCAGAUUUUCACGGAACUUGAUUGACAACAAUUCCCAUCUGGAGUCGGCGGCGCCUACAUCGUCGCCCUGCUAGCCUAUUAAUACCAUCCGUGGCGGCAUCCAGUCCACCUGGUCGACUCGAUCAUAUCGCCACGCAAAACCCACCCCAAACCCCCAAGAUCGAUCUAUCGAUCGAUAUGAAGAUGGUUCGUCUCCGCAGCUCCGACGGCGAGGAGUUCGAGGUGGCGGAGGAGACCAUCGGCGCGGCGUCGGUGAUGAUCAAGGGCAUGCUAGAGGACGACGUCGCCGUCGUCGUGAUCCCGCUCCCCAACGUGACCGGCCCCAUCCUCUCCCGCAUCCUCGACUACGUCAACAGGCACUUCUCCGACCCCCACAACGUCACCUCGCACACCCCCGGCGCCGACGACCCCCUCAGGCGGUUCGACGACUCCUUCGUCCAGGUCGACCAGGACACCCUCUUCGACCUCAUGCUCGUAAGCAGCCCUCACGAUCUCUCUCUUCGAUUCGAUCUAGGAGUAGUUAACUGCUAGAUUGAUUUGGAACUCGCGAUGUACGUUCAUGCAGGCUGCCAAUUACCUCGACAUGCAGAGCCUGCUCGACCUGACGUGCAAGACGGUGGCGGACCAGAUCAGGGGCAGGACCCUCGAGGAGAUCCGCAAGAAGUUCAACAUCCGCAACGACUACACCAAGGAUGAGGAGCAGGAGGUCCGCAGGGAGAACUCGUGGGCAUUCAAUUAGAAGCCGUCUAGCUAUUUGCUUGUCCAUUUGAUCAUCACUGCGUAGGCUAUCCAUCGGUCGAUCCACGGCUAUGAUGGGCCUGGUUACUUGAUCAUAUGCGCUUUCUCACUCUUAUAAAGCAAUCAACGGGGCCGAAAUGCCUACCUGGAUGUGCACGGACUAGGGUUUUACAGACUCGGGGUUUCUCACCAUUGCAUGCAUGAGCUAGCUCAAUUUUUAGCCUCCCGGCCGGCUCCCGCAGCGUUCCUCAGAUAGAAGGCACCGGGGAGCUCAGCUAUGAAAGAACUUUGUGGGGAGUAAGACAAGGGGAUCUGUUUCUUACUUUGCCGAGUGCCCGUGUUUUGACUCUCGGCGAAGACCAUGACACCCGGCGUAUACGAAUUUUUCAGUAGUGGUAGACGAACAACGACGAAAUCCGAGCAAAUCUAUCAAAGAUGAUUUGCGUCUGAAUAAAUGCAAGAUUAUUCACUCUAAUGCCGAGGGAUGAAGUCCAGGACAGAAAUAUGAAAAAGAGAGAACUAAAUGGGGCACAGCUUAGUUAGUGAACAUAAGAACCCAAGACUUCUACUGCCACGAGAACUGGAAGUACGGCGACGUCCCUUCCGAGUAGCCAUCAGCGCCGACGUGGAAGAUCCCAUGGCAGUUCAUCUCGUUGUCGUUCCAGCUCAGGACCUGCGCGCCAGUGUUGAGCUGCUCGAUGUCCAUGCUGGGUAAGGCGGCGAACCCGGCGGCAGUGCAGACACCGCUGGAGGCCUGGGAGCAGGCGAACCAGGAGGAGCUGCUGAACUGCUGGUCGGGAACGAGGCACUGCUGGGCCACAGAAGGGAUUUGCUCGCUUGGACGGACCAUCUGGGUGAUGUCCAUGCUGGAGGAGUUGGCCGGGGACGACAGAAUAGAGAGAACACAAUCAGAGCUGAGCACGAUGCUGCUGCUGCUCUCGGGUGGGGGCGGGGUGACGGCCAUCAGGAGAGGCUGGCACACGGGGAUCUCGAGGGCCGCCGCGCCUGCACUGAAGCUCAUUGGGUCUCCUUCGUGUAGAAAGGGGAAGUGCCAGCCUUCCAUAGUGUCGGACGACGUCGAGCCGGUGAAGUUCUGCCUGCUUUUGCUAAGAACCUCGUGGGUGUAGUACGGAUUGCUAUCAUCGUAUUUGAUGAUCCCGGACCAGCUUGGCUCUGCCCUCGGAGCAGAGAACGACGCCAAACUUGUCUCUCCAUUUGAAUACAAACCUGAAUGGCCGUCAUGAAACGAGCUCAAGAGUUUAGACUGCUAUCCAAAUAUAGAAAUAUACAACAUUGAAAAUGCAGGCAUUGUGCAACCAGCCAGUUCAUUUGAAUAUUCAGGUUGCAUUAUGCUCUUGUGGCCAAGGAAGAAUAGUACUCCCUCCGUUUCUUUUUAGUCUGCAUAUAAGAUUUGGUCAAAGUACCUUUAUAGAAAAAACAUAUCAACAUCUACAAUACAGAAGUUAUAUGUUAUGAAAAUUAAUUUCAUCAUGCAUCUAAUAAUAUUGAUUUCAUAGUGUGAAUGUUGAUAUCUUUUCCUACAAAGCUAGUCAAACUUCACAAAGGCUGACUUUGACCAAAUCAUAUAUGCUGACUAAAAAGAAACGGAGGGAGUACCCGUGACAUUUAUUUUCGAACAUAUAAAACUAUAGUGAACACCAUCUUACUCAUGAAUCCGAUAGUACAAAGGGUAACGAAAGGCAUAUAGUAUAUAGUGCCAUUUCCUGUUUGCUGUCUGGGUUGCAGGAUGUGUUUUUUUUGAAAAAGAGGAUUACCCCCGGCCUCUGCAUCUGAAAGAUGCACGCGGCCAUAUUAUUAAAAAAUGGCAGCAAAAAAAGUCCCAUCUUUACUUCUUAUGGGAAAAUGCAGGUGGUCAAGCUUAUUAUCAGUUAGACAGGAAAUAAUAUGUCCCGACUAAUUAAAUACAAAACCGUAGUUUUGCAGGCUAGCUAGAUGUAUGGACAACUAUAGAUAACAACAGCAGUUUGGCGAGGGUUUACAUUUGAGUUAAUGUACUUAAUAACUUAAGUUCUGGUUUUGAGAUUACUAUAUAUUUUGUUUGUUUCAGCUAUGUCAAAGUAGCAAUCGACAAGCUAGCAAAACAGUGGUUAAACAAAUAAAAUACCUUGUUGGGUUGUCAUAAAGCUCCAAGAAUCCUUGCUAACCACCUGUGGCGUCCUGCGGCGCCUGUUGCGCUCGUCAAGGCGCUUUCUACAGCUACGCUUAGCCUCGUCAAACUCCUCAAGUAAGUGAAACCUAAAGAGAAAAAGAUUCAUGAUAAAAGACAUAAGCAUUUAAGUCAAAAUGAGUCAUAAUACUAACAUAUAUGAAUGAAUAGGUACCCAUUUAGGAAUAUGUACUAAUCAAUAUCAUCCUUAAUUACAUAGUAACACUGCUAUGACAUGUUUUCCUUGAGGAAAAAUCUCCCACUGUUAAUGUAUACUCCCCCGUUCCAUAAUUCUUGUCAUGGUUUUAGUUCAAAGAGGAACUAAAACCACGGCAGUUAUGGAACGGAUGGAGUACUGAGCAUAUAUGAUUGUUCUAGCAGGAAGAGAGCAAAUCAUAACACACUUGAAGACCGUCAGGUAUAGAACCUUGCAUAACCUUGCUAUUAACAAGUAAAAUUAUCUCUUAAUAUCUUGUCACUAUCAUAAUAGAGUUAAGUGUUAGAAGAAAAUGAUAUCGUAACAUCAUGGACAAAUAUGCCAAGAACUAAGUAUGGCAUUCGGGAUUAGAGAGAAUUUGUAUGCAAGUGCACCACUUUUAUGCUGAAAGCAGGCAUGGAAUUCUAGAAGAGACAACUUAGGUUUAGGUUAUUCAUUUAAAACCAUCACUACAGAUUUUGAUAUUGUUUUCUGAGCAAAUAAUCUGCUUUGAUAAAAUAAAGCACCUGAAUAAUUAAAAGCUUCAAGGACUAACAUGCUACUCGAACAUAAUGGUCUGAAUAUUUAUUUGCUCAGUAUUAAAACCGCACACACAGAUUCUCUAAAGAAAGAGUACUACACAGCUGGACCACUCAGAUUUCAGUGCAUCGGUUAAGAAUUUCAGUGCAUGGGGCUUCACUAUACAAAAGCUUUCUACUGGGCCCUGUAAAAAGCACAGUAAAUUAGUGCAACUCUUGUUGGACAUUUGGACCACAAUAUGGGUUCUAGCAGGAAGUAUAUACUCCCUCCGUCCGGGUUUAUUAGGCCUAAAGACAACUUCUCUUAGACUAAGACACAUAGUAAUUUGAUCACAUUAAUUCUUCCAUUCCACUCUCAAUGCACUCUCUCACAUGCAUGCAGCCAAUGAAAAAGCACGCAUGAAGUGUAUUAAUUUUUCAACCAUGGUACCAACAACAAUGGCUUUCAAUGCAACCAAUGAAAUGGUUGCAUGCAUGCACCUUUCCAAGGCAGGGCCUUAUAAGAGGGGACAUGCUUGUGAUGCUGAGAGACCUAAUAAACCCGGACGGAGGGAGUAUAUGGCAGUGCAACACCAGCCUAAAGGAGCACUGAUAUGAAGUCUAUUAAACGGUAUGGUCAUCCAAAUUUUCCUUGAUUGGGUGCUCUAUUGCCUGCUAUAUGCUUGAUAGCUAAUUAACCAAUCAUUGGAAAUGUACUGCACUGGAUAAACAAAAUUUAGAAGAGACCAAAAACGAUCGAUGGAUAAUUUUUGUAUUGCUUAAUGUUUCUAGGCACAUGAGGCAGAUUUAGUUCCUCACCACAUCUCAAAAAUAUAGAAGACACCAACUCAAUGGAGCUAGAGUUGAACCUUAAAAGAUUUCAAGCAACGCGCCAGAAUUGUGAAAUGAACCAGGCAAAAAAGUGCAUUACAAAAACACGUGAAAUUGGAGGCACCCAAUUUGCUCAAAGGAUGUGAAUUCCCAUAUCAAACAAAUAGACAUCAUUUUAACAGAGUCAAAUUGCAGUGGAAGACCUAUUUAAAUAAAAUAUUUUAAGGGAAUAUAGAUGAGAUGCUAUACUAAACAUUAGUAUUUACAUCGAGUUCAGAAAAUAACACAAUAAUGUUUCUAUGGAGCAGAACUCCAAGAGAAAUAAAUGCAUUAAUAGUUCAGCUAGAAAGAAGGGCAAACUAAGAACAACUACUUUCUAUCUAUUUGACAGUAGAAGAAAAAAGUUCUUAUGGAUCGGAGUACCUGAGAAGCAUUAGUACAGAAAUGGUUACCCACAACAUUAGGUGGCGUGCCAGUUUCAAUCCAUGCCAACACUAUAUUUUUGAAAUAGUAGCGGCAUGGGUGGCGUUGCUCAUUUGUAACACGCCAUAUUGUGGGACUAAGUGUAGUGAGCACACACAAGUCAGUAGUGUGGUGUGAUUUUUGUACACGCCACAAGUAUCGAGACUAGUGGUGGCGUGCUGUUACACAACAGGCCACCAAUAACAUUUGCCUAUAUAAGUGUUGGCAGACUCUCCUUCUUCCUCAAAUAAUAUCACUUCUUUCUCCACCAAAAAUCUUCUCCCUAGCUAGCUGCUCUUAGUUUUUGUUCUUCCCCUCCUAGCUACGUGGCAUGUAAUGGACCCAUCAGAGCUUGUAGUAUCAACAUGAGCCCCACAUGCGAGCUCACGUCGACCGAGAGUGUCAAAAGAGUGGGGCCCAAACGCCUUGGCUGAGCUCUCCUCCCCCUGUUGGCUCGGUCAUGAUCUCAUUCUCACCACCAUUCCCUAUGCAGCCGACCAUGUCUGGCGGAUCAUCCCGCUGCAACAGCGCAACAGAUCGAUCAGCCGGAAAAUCUACACCACCGUAAGCAAAGCGGCCCGGAAUCUAGUGAGGGCAUCCGUGCUGCUUUGCGUCUGCCAAUGCCCUCUUGAUAAGUAAACUUUGUGCACACUAUGGAAUCCAGAACGAGAGUUCUUCAUCUGUGCUCGCCGUGGAAAUGUAUAUGACAGAAAAUCCCUCGAUCUGUUACAACAAAUUGGCACAUGCAUUCAAAUCUAGCAUUGCUCACAUAAUUGUGUGUAUACAUAUCUGUAGAAGGAGUCUCUUGCCACACAUGGACAUGGGUUGAUCUCGUGCAGAAAUACGUAAGCGAGUUGCUUGAGUACUACCAUGGACUACUGAGACAACAACUAGAUGAGAUACAAAUAAAAAAUUGAUGAGACCCAAGCCGAAAACGACUAGACGCGAGGCAAGAUAAAAAAAAUUCAAGAAGCUUCGAUGUCGACAUUUAGCUUGUGUUAUGAUUGUGCUCGUUCUGCUAGCUGGAUGGGUCGGUGACAUCGUUUCUUCUUGUGGGAGUAAUUGUGAUAAUUAUAUUGUUAAUUUAGACAGCUAGCUAUAUCAAGAAAUGGUUACUAGUUAUUGUUUAGCCUUUAGUUAUUAUGUAAGUGGAUUAGUGAUGUUGUUCUUCUAAUUCUGAAGUCUUUAACUAUUUAACUAUGUAUAGUGUACCUAGAGCAGAAAAAUAAAUAAGGUAACAUAAAAAAGUAUCAAAAAUAAAAAGGUAACAUACAUAAAUAGAAGAAUUGAUUAAACAUUAACGUUAAAAACCUAAAUUAAAAUAACCUACAUAAAACCUAAUUUUAAUAUAAAUUAAACAAAAUGUAAAUAAAAAAUUGACCCAAAAAUAAAAUUGAAAUAAAAAAUAUAUAUAUUAAAAAUAAACAAAAACAUAUUGAUGGUGUGGGCUGCUCCAGCCCACGCCACCAUCCUAGCACACCCACUCUUUAACCCCCCACACCCCCAAUCUCUCCCUAAUUCCUCAUUCUCCAUGCUCACGCCGCCGCCGCACCCCAAGCUGCCACACCGCCGCCCCACCGCCAUCUACGCCAGUGACACCACCUCCUUCGUCUGUUAGCACCUCCGCCUUUGUCGCCGUCUCGGUCUCCGCCCGCCCACAAUGAGCACCGACCCCGGCCCCUUUUUUUAGUGUAAUUUAGUUGUGUUGGUGAAAUUUUUAAUGUAAAUUUAGUGAGGUUUUAGUGUAGGUUUUAGUGUAGUUGUUAGUGUAGUCUUAGUGCAAUUUAGCUAAUUUUUAGUGUACAUUUAGUGUAGGUUCUAGUGUAGUUUUAGUGUAACUAGCACAACGACCCUCUGAAAUGCAGAUAUGGUUUAUGACCACCUCAAAUGUUAUGCUAAAUAAAUUAUCAUGCAUGAAGGUUAUAUUUAAUUUUGUGUGACAAAUAAAUAUGUCAUUCCCCCUCUAGGUACGAUGAUAGAGUUUUGGUGGCAGGACUCCACCUAGCAGGGUUCGUAUCCUUUUACUCACAUUCAUACUAUUUAUACUAUAUGAUGCUUCCAUCUUUGCCGUAUGAAGCUAAGGUUUCAUGUACGGUUUUGAAAUAGCCCCAUAACAAUAGUGUUUAUUCAAGAAAACAUUGUUGUUCCGUGUCUUGGACUAACCAUCCCUUAGAAGGUAUUCUUACGACAUCUCCAACGUGGACCCUCAAACCACCCGCAUACGUUCNNNNNNNNNNNNNNNNNNNNNNNNNNNNNNNNNNNNNNNNNNNNNNNNNNNNNNNNNNNNNNNNNNNNNNNNNNNNNNNNNNNNNNNNNNNNNNNNNNNNNNNNNNNNNNNNNNNNNNNNNNNNNNNNNNNNNNNNNNNNNNNNNNNNNNNNNNNNNNNNNNNNNNNNNNNNNNNNNNNNNNNNNNNNNNNNNNNNNNNNNNNNNNNNNNNNNNNNNNNNNNNNNNNNNNNNNNNNNNNNNNNNNNNNNNNNNNNNNNNNNNNNNNNNNNNNNNNNNNNNNNNNNNNNNNNNNNNNNNNNNNNNNNUGUCCGCUUCUGGCUGGCCUGGCACGCCCAAAAAUCCCACCGCCUAUCCCGCGCCGCUUGCCACUACGCAUUCAUGCCAUCCCAGUGCAUGAAGUGGCCGACAUUGAUGCCCGUGAUUUGACCAAAUAGGGGGAUGGGGACGCACUGACGAACGUGACCUCUUGGGUCACCGCUUCAAUGCAGACGCCACGUCAUGAGAAACCAACUCCGCCCCCUACGCAACCGUGACCUCCACAUCGGAGGCCACAUGAAGGACAAACCCGUGUACCCGCCGCGCAACCGCGGCCUCCACAUCGGAGGCCACGUGAUAGACGAGCCCGUGUCCGCUCCAGCACCUCCGCCUGGUCAAAGACGAGCCGGUGUUGCCCCCAGCGCCAGCUGACACGCCCACAUUGACAGGCCGUCUCUGCCGCCACAUCAUAACCGCCAGCCGGUCAAGAAGGAGGAGCUGCCGCCCGCGGUCAAGAAGGCGCAUGGCCGCAUCUUCCACUACCUCGAAGGAGGUGGUUACGGCAAUGCCUCUGGAUCGUGGGCCAUCGUAUCCGAGGAGGAGCGCACAGCGAGCAUGGUACGACCAGUGCAAUGCUGGUCGCCGCUCCGGGUUCUCUAAGAGCGACAUGGCGCCGGAAUGUGUCUGCAACGACUCGGACUUCACUGCCGCGUGGGCGCUCGACCGCUCCGUCACCAGCGCGAAGACGGCCGCCAGGACCGCCGCCGCGUCGACAGCGAGCUCGCCAAGGUUGGCGAGAAGUGGUCGAUUAGCGACUGCUCCGCCAGCGCCUGCAGGGGCAAGGUCGCCCUCAGGGCUCCGCCGAUGUCCGCGGCAAUGGCCAAGGUGGCCCUGCACACCGCGCAACAGCAGGCGGACCGGCUCCUCCGUGAGCGGCAGGCAGCCGCCGGACAAGGCUGCCGCGGCCCUUCGGCGCCACUGGAGGGACGACUCCGUGGACGAAGACGACUGUGUGGCAGGACAGGGCAGCCACACAUAUGAGGUGGUUGUCCAGUAUUAGCUUUAGGUUUUUCUUAUAGUUCUUAGUUGAACGGUCGAAAUAUCGCCCGUUAUGUAAAUUAUAUCCAAACAUUAAUGAAAUCCAAAGUUUUUGCAUGAGUUUCGUCCAGAUUAGUUGAACUGUGUUUGAAAUGUAUGGGGCAGCGUUGGAUGGCCAUCUUCUGCAUCCGUGUCCGUGGACUGAUCCCCAUGUUCGCGAACGGAUGCCAGAGGGAAUUUCCAGGAAAGCGUUGAUGAUGCCUUUAAAAGAUCCUCAAUUCAAAUUGAUGUAGUAGUGGCUUGAUGGAAGCUGGGAGUCUUUAGCUAAUGCAAUAUAUGGGCAGUAAACGGCGGCAGUAACUCAAACUGUUUUAAGUUAGCGAAAUUCCUUGUCGCUAUACGAGGGUUGCCUAGUCUGCCGCAAAAGUGGGCACUUUUCUUCCUAGAUUAUGAAGAUCCGCCAUAUCUUCCUUCAAGUCAGAGAAUUGAGAUAGAACAACUUCGCCUUUGGCACCGUCCACUCUUUGGGAAAAGGAGGAAAAUCACUCUGAUCUCUAAUUCCGCAGCUCGCUUUGUAGGAAUGUACAAAUCCUGGUCAGUUGGUAAACAUAAGGGCACCGUACGAACUUUUAUGCAACGAUUGGGUUCGGCAUUUUCAGAAAAUUCUUUUACGGAAGAGGGAGUACCAAGGUUUUUUUUUUCAUUACCGAUUUUUUCUGGGCUCGGGGAGGAAAGACCAGUUUCCAAAAAAUCUCAGAAUUUUUGGAUUUUUUGUCUGAAUUUUUCGAACAAAAAUUGAAUUUAAAAAAAUUAGCAUCAAGAUAUAUUUAAUUCAAAUCUGUGUAUUUACGAACUGCUUCCUAGCUCGUUGGACAACUCAUCUCUUCUCAAGCAUAAGGGCGCAUGUUCGUGUCCUGUCGAGUGUAGCACUGCAGCCAGUCCCCAGGCGAACUGGCCAAGGCCCAGGCCGAAUAAGGUUAUGUCUAACUGCUUGCGCGCGCAACGCGUAUCCCUUCCGUCCGUUCUCACUCGGAUCCAUGCAGCUGGUCCACCCGGGGCCCAUGCAGGCGCUGCGCGCAUGUAGAGCACACUUUCAUAUCCGGCAUGCAGAGGUAGGUUUGCUUUUCCCAUGGUGUGACCCGUUUCUUCUAUAAAAUAUAAAUCUAUUUUUUGUUUCUUGCUGCUCCCCUUUCUUCCCUCAUUUUUUAUUUCCUUUGUGUUUUAAGCAAAAUCACUGUAGAGUUUUAUUAACUCCCUACUUGAACUUUAACUUCAAAUUAUAAAGAACUUUUUAUAACCAUUUCAUAAAUUACUGGACUUUGCUGGAAACAGUGAAGAACUUUUCAUUUUAAUUGUAAAGUGCUAAAUAAAUAGAAUCGGGAGUUGAAGAAUUUUAUAAAUAGUGGAUUUGCACUUUGUUAUAAACAUUGAAGAACUUUGCUAGAAAAAAGUAUCAGGGAACGAAGAACUUUAUAAACAGAUUGCUUGAACUUUGAUGAAAAAAUUAUGAAACUGUUUGAGCCAUGUCCAAUCUAAUUUUAUCUUGGACUCCAAAUUUAGUUUGGAAUAUAUCGAUAUUGGACUUGUUUCGUAGAGUUGGUUGUGAGAAUCUCAAAAACAUAAACGGAUUUAAAUUUGCAAAAUUUAUUUUAAAGUUAUGCUCACAAGUUUGUUUAAUGUGUAAUUUUGUUUAGAAGGGGAUAGCAUGUGCUAGCCGCAGCAUGCACACAUGGGCCCCAAAGGAAUCUACUGCAUGUGACCCAGCUUUUCAGAUGGUGGCCCGUAUCCCUAUGCAUGCAUGGUGAAGGGAGCUCCUAAUUGGCGCUGCAGGCGCCGUGGAACCGAACGGGCGCCUACAGGCAGCACUAGUGGGCCGGCCCACGGACGAAAGAACAAAGCAGAGCAGUAAACGUCUCGCAACAAAAAACGCUAAAAUACGUAAGAAACCCGACUUGAACCCGCUCCUCGAAAUUGAAGUAUUGCUCAGCUAACCAGUAGACUACGGGAAGACUACUGAUUUAUUACAAACGCAAACGCAUUAAGUACCAUAAGAGCCGCGCUAGUUAUUACGCACUUUUGAACUAUUCAUCUUUUUAAAGUCGAUAUUUUUAAUGAAAAUAAGUUCAUAAAUUUUGGAAAAAGUUCAUCGAAUUUGAAACAAAAGUUCAUCGAUUAGAAGAAAAAGUUCAUCAAAUUUCAAAUUAGUUCAUUGAUUUCGAAAAAAGUUCAUUGAUUUUGAAAAAAGUUCAUCGGUUUUCAAAAAUAGUUCAUCGAAUUUGGAAAAAGAGUUCAUCAAAACUGAAAAAAGUCCACCGAUUUUGAAAAAAAGUUCAUCAAAAUCGAAACAAAGUUCAUCGAAUUUGUAAUUUUUUAAUCAUUUUUUAAAGUAAUCUAAUGAAAAAAGUUCAUCAAUUAAGAAAAAGAGGUUCACGAAAUGUGAGAAACAAUCGCGCAUUAAAGAAAACAAAAAAAAAAUGGACAGAAAAGGAUAAAGGAACAAAACGAACUCAAGAGCUCAAUAAAAUAAAGAAGGGAAGAAGAUUUACACGAGCGGGACGGUGGUCUGUUGGUUAGCGCGUAACCCGCGCAGCGAAGCGG